RNAcentral lists this long non-coding RNA (46379 nucleotides) under Malus domestica (apple). RNAcentral's name for it is "long non-coding RNA (MDOM_LNC003505)". Lineage: Eukaryota; Viridiplantae; Streptophyta; Magnoliopsida; Rosales; Rosaceae. The record is from RNAcentral.
ACCCUGCUAAUCCAACAUGGCUUUUACGACGAAAACGCCCCAAAGUUCGUUGCAUUUCCAGAUCAGGCAUCAAUCCUAUUUGGAUCAUUUCUUUAACAAGCCUCAAAGCUUCACCGAUUCUGUUAACGUUUAUAUAGCCGUUGACCAAGGUUUUAUAGGAAGCAAUAUCAGGCGCAUAACCCAUAAUCACCAUUAAGUUCAACACCACCUUCGCCUUAUCCAUUCUGCCCUGCAAACAAUGUUCACUAACCAGCAUACUGCAAGUUAUUGUGCUGAGUUUCAUACCGUAUUCAAUUGUUGCCUCAAAUAUUUUGUGAGUCUCUUCUGUCAUCCCACCUUUGUAGAUAGCAUCCAAAAGUAUUACCAAAGUAACGGUAUCAGGCAAGAGUCCCCGGCCUACCAUAUCAUCAAACAACCUUGUGGCUUCUUCCCAUUGAGCUGUACGGCACAUGCCAUUGAUUAAACUGUUGUAAGUGAUAACAUCUGGGGCAACACCUUCAUCCAGCAUUCUAUUAAACACCCUUGUAGCUUCUUCCCAUUGAGCUGUACGGCACAAUCCAUUAAUUAAGGAGUUGUAAGUCACAACAUCAGGCUUUUCCCCUCUAUGGAUCAUUUCUUCCACAAGAUUCAGUGCCUCUGCUGUCUUCCCUUCCUUGCAUAAAGCAUCCAGUACAGAAUUAUAUGUAACAAUAUCAGGCAAGGCUCCAUAACCAAUCAUGGUUUUAAAUAAACUCAUAACUUCCUCCCAGUUACCAGACUUGCAUGAAGUAGAAAUCAAGCAAUUAAAAGUGACAACAUCAGGCUUUAUGCCUCUCAUUGUCAUCUUUUCAAAUAGAGCAAGCGCUUCUUGAAUUCUUUCUUCCUUGCAAAGACCGCUGAUAAGAACAUUAUAUGUGUAUACAUUGGGUGAAAUUCCACUGUUAAGCAUGCAAAUCAAGAAGCUCUUGGCUUUUUCCAACCUCCCCAAUUGGCACAAUGCAUAAAUUAGAGCGGUGUAGGUUAAAACAUCUGGCUUGACUCCUUGAUCUUCCAUUGCUUCCAAAAGAGAGAGCACUUCUUCCCAGCGACUCGUGUUGCAUAACCCAUGAAUCAAUGUGUUAUAAUUGAAAACAUUCGGUACAACACUUUUGCUGAUCAUAUCUCGAAAUAGGGUCAAGGCCUCGUCUAUUCGUCUUUCUUUACAGAGGCUAUCAAUGAUUGGAUUGUAGCAUUCUUGGUUGGGCUUGAACCUUCCAUCUUCCCACAUCUUCAUUAGUAUCUCUAGUGCCUUAGAAGUUUUCCCAGCCUUGCAUAACCCAUUGAUCAUGGUAGCAUAAGUGAUUUCAUUGCCUCGUCCCAGGAACUGUACUUGCAAAGUCCGUGAAGUAAAAUACUUAUAGAAUGAGCAUCGGGUUGAAGACCAUAUUUAAGGGUAGUUGCUAAAACAGAGAAACCCAAGUCCACCCGGUUCAGACGGCACAAGCAAUUCAGAAAAAUAUUCAUUGUACAGACAUCAGGUCGGAAUUGAGCGCAACCCAUCAACUGUUUACACAUAGAAACCACAGCAGAAUACUCCUUCAUCUUGGAGAGUGCCCCAAACAAACAAUUGAAAGUCCAAAUAGAGGGCAAGGGUUUGGUUUGAAUCAUGGAAUCGAAGUAACCCAAUGCUUCAUCUUUCCCAAUUUUUCCAUAUUUGCAUCGAGUUUGGAUCAAAUUGUCCGAUUCCAAAUGUGUUUGUUUAAAUCUAACUGUACUAGUAGCAUUAGCAUUACCAGCAGCGGAAUGAAAUCCAUCUUUUUUGUGCAGAAAGGUAAAAAUGAAUGAAGGAGUACCUGUUGAGUUAGGAAGUCUCGUGGUUAUCACCUUUAUCUUCAUCUUCCACAGAUUCAGCCCAGUUCAUGAAAUCCCAUGAAUUUCAAUCCUUCUCUGGAAUCAAGCUGCAAUUGAAAAGAAACUGACUUCAAUUGGUUCUUGUUUCAAACCCUAAUUCUGUAUUCCGAAAAACACUACCCUUAUGCUCAUGACAUAAAAUAUGCAACAUGUAUUUACAGAGUGUUAUAAUCUAUGGAUGCGUUUGUUGCACCGGAUUAUCUUGAACUGGACUAGCUUCAUGAACUAAACUGGACUGGCUUAGACUAGACUAAACUGGACUGACUUAGUGAAGCGUUUAGUGCAGUGUCAGACUAAUAAGCAGGAUAACUAUUAAAUUUAGAUACUAUAUUAUUUAAUCUCUAUUUAAUAAUAUUUUAUUAUUAAUCUAUCAUUUUACUUGUUUCUAUAAACAAUCUAAUGGCCAGUAUUUUUUUUCCAAGCAUAUCACUGGCCCAUUCCUCUUUCCUCUGGUACUCUAUCCCUCCCUUCUCCCUCUUUUUAUCUGGUUCACCAUUUUUCUAGAGUUCUCUUCCACUCUCCGUAUACAUCUCUCUAUUUUCCACCACCCAUCUCGCUCCCAUCCCCUCUUUUCCACCAUCCACUCUCUCCCUAACCUCUCCCUUUUUUCCUUAUGCAGAGGAUUCAUCAGAGCUCACCACCCAACGCCUCCUCUGAUUUUCUCAGAAAAUCUCGGGAUUUUUUGGUGAUUUUGCGUUUUUGUUUUGAAUUUGUUCGGGAGAUUCGUCUGCAUGUGCUUUUGGGGGAAUUUUAGAUGUUGGAUUUUGAGAUUUAGGCAGUGGGUGGGGGUGGUUUUCAGAUCUACACAGGGAGUAAAGGAGCAGGAGUUGCAGACGACAAGGUGUGCAAACGAUGUUGGAGACGGGAUUAGCAAUCCCAUGGUUUUUGGGGGGUCUCACUAGGACGACUUAGUGAAGCUCAUAGUCGGAACGAGUCUGACUUAAUCCCAUUUAAGUUUAGUCCAGCUUGCACCAAACACGGGAUUAGUAGUCUUAGCAAAGUAGUCCAAUCCAGUGAACUUUAACGAGGGCAAACAAACACGCCCUAUAUAUCUAUAUAGGACUAAAAAGGUGAAGUUUUGGUUGCCACAAAAAAAAAAAAAGGUGAAGCUUUUAAAAAGUUCUUAAAUACCGCUCUAUUUUUUUUAUUUUUUUAAGGAAUACAACUUAAUUAAAAAGAAAAAAAACUAUAAAAAUACAAAAUAAAACUAUCUCAUGCACAUGAGUAAGUGGCCAUUUAUCACGCAGGUGAAAAUAUGUGGUGUCAUUGCAUGACGACGUGAGUUUGAAUCUUGUCGGGGGCUAAUCUAUCUUCCCGGAACUUAUUUUCAACACGCCCCCUCAUGUAUGACGAAUUUUGAAGCCUAACACUUUGACAACACAAUGGAAGUGACGUGGAGCACGUGUGACCAUUUGGCUUCACAUGUGGGACAACUUGCUCUGAUACUAUAUAUAUUCGUCUUUGGUAGUAGUGGAGGUAUUGAUAGUAGUGGUGGAAUGAGAAUCCUCGCCAGACUCUCUUUGUGAAGAUCUCAGGGAUUCUCAAAUCACAUCCGUUCAUCGUACUUCGUGCGGUCAAAAAUCAUUGUAAUUUUUAUUAUUUAAAAUUGAAUAUAAACAACACUUGACAAAAACUGGUUGUACGAUGUACGAUAAACGAAUGUGAUUGGAGGAUUCCCAGGAUCCUCACAAAGAAGAUCUAGCGAGGAUCGUUUCUUGUAGUGUUGACAAACGACAUCAGAGGUGGUAGUAAUGGUGGGAUUUAGGUGGUGACAACAACGAAGUAAUGGUGGUCAUUGCCCUAUACUUUGUUGUUUUUUUUUCGACAGAAAAAAAAAAGUACAGGGCAAUGACGACAUAGUGGUGCCAGCGGCGAUGACUAUGAUGGUGGCAAAUAAUGGUUGUGUUAACAAUGGUUGUGAAAAUGGUGGUUGAGAGGUGGUGGGGAUGAUGGUGGUAGAGAAUGUGGAGGUGGUGGAGGCCGUGGUGAUGGUAAUGGGUUGAAGAAUGUGAUGAUGCUGGUGAAAGGUGGUGGUGGUGGCCCCAAUGGUGAAACGGUGGAGGUAGUUAUAGCAUAGUGACAUACAUGAUUUUAUAGUGUAUCUUUUUAUUUUCUAUUAUUUGGGAAACUAUUUUUGAAAAACAAAGAAAACAUCUAUUUCAUGUUUUAUAGAACUUUGGCUAAACAGUAUUUUAUGAGUUUUUUGUUUUUUGAGUUUAUUUUCACAAAAUAGUUUGUCAAACGCAUUUUCACCCGCUUUUGUAUUUGCAAAAUGAAUCCUUAUUUUGCAAAACGUUAACGAACAUGUCCUUUUUUUUUGUUAUGAUACAACAAUGAAUGAGAGUUUUUUUGUUCUAUUAAAAUGACUAAAAGAAUUACACCUAAUCAAAGGAAUAGAAUCUUACCAUCAUAAAUGUGAAAAAAAAGAGCUAGAUGUAAAACAACUCUUCUUGAAGAAAUUUUUUAAAGUGCCUGAUAUUAAAGCAAGCACUCCACAUGUCAUAAACAAGUGGAGGGACACGAUAAAAGUACAAGAAAACCUAAAAGAUGAAUACAUGCAAAAAGUUGUCAAACAAAAAAAAAAAAAAAAAACAGACAAGGUUAUGACAAUAAAAAAACCACCUAAGGGAUAAACAUGUAAGCAUGAACACCCAAAAAAGAAAUUUAAAUGCAGUAAUGGAAGAAUGUGCAAGGGUGGACCAUGUCAAACAACAUAAGAUGAGAGCAGUCUAAAUUUGAUAAUUUCUAGCAACUGCAUUUCCUUUCCGAAAAGUAUGAGGUCGAUGAAAUUCCCAACAUGUUUCAAGUGACCAAGGAGGCAAAAAAGAGUCCAAUGAAAGAAAAGGUGAACAAGUGUCGGAAGCCAAACAACAAAUAAUCACACCAGAUGAAUCACUUGCAAGCUAGAGAUACCAUGUGUGUUUAUCAUUUUCCUAAGAACUAACAGUCUAUUUGGAUACGGUAAAAAAACACAGAAUUUUAAUUAAUUUUGGAAAUUUAAGAUGGGAAAGCAAUUUUCCCUUGUAUGAGAACUUGCCGCGAGAGAAAAGGAAAAUUCCAAGGGGAAAAAACGUGGAAAUCGAGGAUGAAGCUUCCCGAGUUCAAUUUCCGUCUAAAUAGAUGUAAUUUUCCAAUUACAACUAUGACGAGAAUCGCAAAUUCAUGUGGAGUAAAUCUUGAGCAUACCAAUUUUCACGAUUAGGACACCAAAUUGGGAUGAUUGGGUGCCAAAUUCCAAAUACCGGAAUCUUAAUUAUUGUAAAUUGUAACUCCCGUCGUUUAGAAUUCUAUGAAAAUUUAAAAAUUCAUCAUCCAAACAUAGUGUAAAGGUUUAACUAGUUCAGUUGUAAAUAUCAAUCAACGGUACCAUGUAUUUGUUCAUUAGUGACAUCCAAAAACUCACGCAAGCCACACUCACAAGGAGAAAUAUUCUGCAAAAAAAAUUGCCUUCUAAACCAAAACGUCUACGUUGAAUUUCCAGUUCAGGUAUCAAUACUUUUUCGAUCACUUCUUUAUACAAGCCCCGUAGCUUCAAUGGUUCUCUCCGAUGUGCCGCCACGAGCACUGAUCUUCAUCCAAUCCAAAGUUUACCACAACUAACAAUAUUGCGUGGUCACUAGAAGUUAGAAACUAACGAUAACUGAAGGCUUUUCAUCCUUAAUCUUCAAACCCUUGCAGAGGGACCUAACAACUACCCUGCUAAUCCAAUAUGGCUUUUAUGACGAAAACGCCCCAAAGUUAGUUGCAUUUCCAGAUCAGGCAUCAAUCCUAUUUGGAUCAUUUCUUUAACAAGCCUCGAAGCUUCACCUAUUCUGUUAACGUUUAUAUAGCCGUUGACCAAGGUUUUAUAGGAAGCAAUAUCAGGCGCAUAACCCAUAGCUGCCGUUAAGUUCAAGACCACCUUCGCCUUAUCCAUUCUGCCCUGCAAACAAUAUUCACUAACCAGCAUACUGCAAGUUAUUGUGCUGAGUUUCAUACCGUAUUCAAUUGUUGCCUCAAAUAUUUUGUGAGUCUCUUCCGUCAUCCCACCUUUGCAGAUAGCAUCCAAAAGUAUUACCAGAGUACCGGUAUUAGGAAAGAUUCCCCGGCCUACCAGUUCAUCAAACAGCCUUGUGGCUUCUUCCCAUUGAGCUGUACGGCACAUGCCAUGGAUUAAACUGUUGUAAGUGAUAACAUCAGGUGUCAGACCUCUUUGAGUCAUUAACUCUAACAUACUGAGGGCUUCCUCGGUCCUCCCCUCCUUGCAAAGAGAACUUAUCAUAUUAUUAUAGGUUAUAACACUUGGGGCAAUACCUUCAUCCAGCAUUCUAUUAAACCACCUUGUGGCUUCUCUCCAUUGGCUGGUCCGGCACAAUCCAUUAAUUAAGGAGCUGUAAGUCACAACAUUAGGCUUUUCCCCCCUACUGAUCAUUUCUUCCACAAGAUUCAGUGCCUCUGUUGUCUUCCCUUCCUUGCAUAAAGCAUCCAGAACAGCACUGUAUGUAACAAUAUCAGGCAAGACUCCAUAACCAAUCAUGGUUUUGAAUAACCUCACACCUUCCUCCCAGUUACCAGACUUGCAUGAUGCAGAAAUCAAGGAAGUAAAAGUGACAACAUUAGGCUUUAUGCCUUUCGUUGUCAUAUUUUCCAACAGAGUAAGCGCUUCUUGAAUUCUUUCUUCCUUGCAAAGAGUGCUGAUAAGAAUAUUAUAUGUGUAUACAUCUGGUGAAAUUCCAUAACCAAUCAUGGUUUUGAAUAAGCUCACACCUUCCUCCCAGUUACCAGACUUGCAUGAUGCAGAAAUCAAGGAAGUAAAAGUGACAACAUCAGGCUUUAUGCCUUUCGUUGUCAUAUUUUCCAACAGAGUAAGCGCUUCUUGAAUUCUUUCUUCCUUGCAAAGACUGCUGAUAAGAAUACUAUAUGUGUAUACAUCUGGUGAAAUUCCACUGUUAAGCAUGCAAAUCAAGUAGCUCUUGGCCUUUUCCAUCCUCCCCAAUUGGCACAAUGCAUAAAUUAGAGUGUUGUAGGUGACAACAUUAGGCUUGACUCCUUGAUCUACCAUUCCUUCAAAAAGAGAGAGCAUUUCUUCCCAGCGGCUCGUGUUGCAUAACCCAUGAAUCAAUGUGGUAUAAGUGAUAAUACCCGGUACAACACUUUUGCUGAUCAUAUCUCGAAAUAGGGUCAAGGCGUCGUCUAUUCGUCUUUCUUUACAAAGGCUAUCCAUAAUUGGAUUGUAGCAAUCUUGGUUGGGCUUCAAUCUUCCAUCUUCCCACAUCUUCAUUAGUAUCUCGAGUGCCUUAGAAGUUUUCCCAGCUUUGCAUAACCCAUUAAUUAUUGUAGCAUAAGUGAUUUCAUCGCAUGUGUAUCCCUUAUCUUCUAUUUCCUGGAAGAACUCCAUUGCCUCGGCCAGAGAACUAUUCUUGCAAAGUCCAUGGAGCAAAGUAUUUAUAGAAUGAGCAUCGGGUUGAAGACCAUACUUAAGGGUAAUUGCUAAAACAGAGAAACCCAAAUCCACCCGGUUUAGACGACACGAGCAAUUCAGAAAAAUAUUCAUUGUGCAGACAUUAGGUCGGAAUUGAGCGCAACCAUCAACUGUUUACACAUAGAAACCACAGCAGAAUACUCCUUCAUCUUGGAGAGUGCCCCAAACAAACAAUUGAAAGUCCAAAUAGAGGGCAAGGGUUUUGUUUGAAUCAUGGAAUCAAAGUAACUCAAUGCUUCAUCUGUCCUAAAAUUUCCAGAUUUGCAUCGAGUUUGAAUCAAAUUCUCCAAUUCCAAAUGGGUUUGUUUAAUUCUACCCGUACAAGCAGGAUUAGCAUUAACAGCGUCGGAAUGAAAUCCACUACUUGUAUUCUGCAGAAUGGUAAAAAUGAAAGAAGGAAGAUUACUUGGAGAUGGAGGUCUUGUGGAUAUCCUCUUCAUCUUCAUUUUUGCGACUGGCCGACUCCUGACAAAUUCAGUUCACGUCAAUUUUUUAGAUGAAUCUGACUUUAAUUUCAUUGCUCUUUUCAAACCCUAAUCCCCUUUUCUGCUCUCAGAGGCCCAACGACACGUUUGCUUGUUGGUUGACAAAGAUGCAGGUAAUUGAAUAUGAUAGGGAUUAGCAUGAACAGCAUUGGAAUGAAAUCCACUACUUGUAUUCUGCAGACUGGUAAAAAUGAAAGAAGGAAGAUUACCUGGAGAUGGAGGUCUUGUGGUUAUCCUCUUCAUCUUCAUUUGAAAGCUCUCUCCUGUUUUUCUUGGGGUUCGAGGACGAUUUUGGUAUAAAGGCAAGGAUUUGGCUCCAUUUGAGAGCUCUCUCCUGUUUUUCUUCUUAGUUUUCAGUGCUUAGAAUUCUUUGUGAUUUUUCUGCAUAGCUAAGGUUAGGAGAGAAACCUACACUAUAACUGUGUACUUUUAUUAUUUUGAUUUUAUUUCGGAUUUUCACCGUCAAUUUUAGGGGUGGGUUCGGUUCAAAUCGGUUCGGUUUUUUGUCAAAACCGAAACCGAACCGAAAUUUCGGUUCGGUUCAAUUUUUUUUCGGUUUUUUUCGGUUCGGUUUUUUUUCGGUUCGGUUUUUUCCGGUUCGGUUUCGGUUUUUUUUUUCAAAAAAUGAAAUAAAUUGAAAUCUUAAAUUUUAACAUAUCCAACACAAUCAUAACAUAAAUAUUCCGACUAAACUUAAAGAUAAUGAAAAUAAACAUUUAAAGUUCAACUAGAAUUAUAACAUAAAGAUUUUUUUUUAAUAUUUUGGGUUUAAAGUUUAACUGUAAAUAGAUUUCUUUUUAGACGAUGAUGAUGGAGUACGACCUUAUUCAUUCCUCUCUCUCUCUCUCUCUCUUUCUCUCUCUCUCUCUCUCUCUCUCUCUCUCUCUCUCCAUGUAUUCUUCACUAGCAAUAAGAUAAACAUUCUAUAAUAUACUAUUUAUUUUGAUUAUUGUCUAGGUAACAAUUUUUGAUAUUUUCUUUAUCUUUAUGGUCCGAAUUUGUUUUAUCCAUAUAUGUGGUUACAUAAUAUAAUUUCUACAUUCUGUGUUCAGCUUCUACUGCCAGCAAAUUUUGAAGAGGUGUUCAUCAAUGUUUUUGAAUAUAUUGAUAUACUUUUCAAAAUUGUUGAGCCACGGAAGCUACUAUACUUGGCCAUAGGUGAGAAAGUUUGAAUUUUGUUUUUGAUCUCGUAGUGUUUAAUAAACUCAUGAGACUUUUAUACGCUGUUUGUUUUCCCUAAUCAUCUGCAAUGCAAUUGAGAUAUGUGUUCUUAUAUAUGUGUUGCACUUAAUGAUAUAAACUAGAAAUAUUGCAUGUAAUGGUAUAAGUUCUAAUUUUUAUUGUAGAUGGAGAAGCUGAGAAGACAAUUUGAAUUGGAAAGCAAACAAGUCCUACCAAAGCAGCAGUCCGAAGUAUCAUAUUCUAAUAUAAUAAAUUCAAAUAAUUAAAUAAAUAAAAUUAAAAAAAUAUUAAUUUAAUUAUCGGUUCGGUUCGGUUCAUUUUUUUCAAUUCGGUUCGGUUUUUUCGGUUUCGGUUCGGUUCGGUUUUCGGUUUUUUCGAUUUUCGGUUUUUUGAACCCACUCCUAGUCAAUUUUACAUUGUGGAUGUUCAGUUGAAUUUUUUAUUUAAUCUAAUUUCAGAUUGAUGAAUAUUAAUUAUGAUCAAACAUUUUUUUUUUUUUUUAUAGUUUUGUUUCAACAUUUUUUUUAUAUUUUGUCGUCGUAGGUAUAAACUAUUAUUAGAAUUUUAAGUAAAGUGUAGCAACGAUCUCUUAACUUUAACUCAAUUGGAACAAUGGUCCCUCAACUAAAAAUUCAUUACCACUGAUCCCUCAACUCAUCAAAACAUGCAGCUAUGUUCCAUCAACUAAAAGUCUAUUACUCUUGGUCCCUCAACUUUAACUCAAUUGUAGCAGUGAUUAUUUCAACAUAACUCAUUUUGACAAAACUCUAACGAAGUUGACGAAAAUGGUCAUAGCUACAUGUUUUGAUGAGCUGAUGGACCCUAAUUGUAGCCAUGGUCCUUCCAACAUAAUUCAUUUUGACAAAAUUCUGAAGUUAAUGAAAAUGACCAUAGUUACACAUUUUGAUGAGUUGAGAGACCAAUGAUAAUGAAUUUUUAGUUGAGGGACCAUCGCUCCAAUUUGAUUAAAGUUGAGAGACCAUUGCGACAAUUUACUCGUAUUUCUAUAAGAAAUCUAAAGGGCUUUAUAUAGUUCGAGUUCGAACAUCCAAAAUAGAGAUUUAAUCACCAAAAGCUUUUAUAUUGAGAAAACUUAAUUGUCAUAUCUUCCGAUUGAGAGAGCAUGUUGUUUUGUAUAUCAGUUGAGUCAUAAAAAAUGAAUCGAAAUAGUGAAAUUCAUAUUGUAUAUGGGCGGAACCCCAAUGCUUUAAUGUUACGUUGAAUAUUUUUUCUAGAAGUUACAUCAUAUUAUGCACAAUGUGGUUAUUUGGAUAUUCUUUUUCAAAUGCUUUCUUUGUUGAUUUGUCUUCCUCUUCUUGCCACUUGUGGGUACUUGUUCUAAUGUUAUUUGGAGCAUAUGGUAUCUAUGAAACAAGAUCCGUUUUGAGGGUGCUAAGCUAUGUAUGGCUUACGCCAAGUCUAGGAUUCUUAUGUGUACUGAAGAAUCCGUUCCUUUGGUUUUUUUUUGGGAGUUUUAACGAAAAGUCCACGGUACUGUUCACUUUAACGAAAAACCACAUUUUUACACUAAAAAGUCAAACCUGAUACUAUUCACUUUACCCUUUAUUUUGUCCUUAUCGUUAAAACUCAAAGUUUUCAAGCCAUUUUCAUUAGUUUUUUUUUUUUUUUUUUUCCUUCAGUCCCUUCAGCGUCAAGUGCUCCUAAUUUUUUAAAUUUUAGGUGUUUCUCCUUUGUUGUCCACUGCCCCUUGUUUCCUCCCUGUUGUUUGGCAACCUCCUAUGAUCCGGUGGAUCGAGGUAAAUACUAAUGCGUCAUUCAAGUCUACAGGCCAUGCAGGAUAUGGUGGUGUAUCGUGAUUCUCAAGGUAUUGGGUGCUUUUGUAUUUGUCUUUUCCAACUUUAUACGUAAAAUAAUGUCAAGAGGAAAGCACAUGGCAGGAACAUAUCAUCGUUCAUGUCUCAUUCCAAAGUCAACUAUUGAUUGAAAUUCUAUUGAAACAAUCAUCUGGUUGGCUUCAAUGGCUAAAGAGGCAACAGCAGCUGCCUCAUCUUUUCCUCCUCAAUAGCAGCUGCCUCAUCGUUCAUGUCAACAGCAGCUGCCUCGUUUCACCAAUUCAUGGAAAUACCAUGUAUUCUUGAGUUUCAGAGGCAAGGUCACGCGCUACAGUUUCACAUGCCAUUUGUAUAGCACUUUGCGUCAAAAAGGAAUUUACACCUCGCUGGAUGAUUUUCUUUCAAGAGGAGAAAUGUCAACAACGCUCCUCAAAGCGAUUGUAGAGUCGAGGAUUUCUGUCAUUGUAUUCUUUGGAAACUAUGUCUCCAGAAGGUGGUGCUUGGACGAACUUGUGAAGAUCCUCGACUGCAAGAAAUCAAAUCAACAAAUGGUGGUACCGGUAAUUUACAAGGUGAGUCCCUCGGAUGUGUGAAAUACAUCAUUACACUAUUACCUCGCUUUCUCCUUCACUUACCUUUGAUCCUGUACAUCUUCAGUUAAUGGAAGCAUUUAAGAGUAGAAUGUGCCUAAGGAUAUGGUAAAUUGUCAACAUCUUAAGGAUUUUAAAUAAAAGCCAACAGAAAUGUUUCCACAGGAAGAGUCAACCGAAAGCUUGCAGAUUGUAUAAAACAUCAUAUCGCUGGUUAUGUUUAAGAAACAUCAACAAUGCCAACAAUUAGGAUACAACUAUAUAUAUGUUGGCCAAUUUGAGCAUUUACCCUGCUAAUCCAAUAUGCCUUUUACAACGAAAACGCCCCAAAGUUUGUUGCAUUUCCAGAUCAGGCAUCAAUCCUAUUUCGAUCAUUUCUUUAACAAGCCUCAAAGCUUCACCCUUUCUGUCAACGCUUAUAUAGCCGUUGACCAAGGUUUUAUAGGAAGCAAUAUCAGGCGCAUAACCCAUAAUCACCAUUAAGUUCAAGACCACCUUCGCCUUAUCCAUUCUGCCCUGCAAACAAUAUUCACUAACCAGCAUACUGCAAGUUAUUGCGCUGAGUUUCAUACUGUAUUCAAUUGUUGCCUCAAAUAUUUUGUGAGUCUCUUCUGUCAUCCCACCUUUGCAGAUAGCAUCCAAAAGUAUUACCAAAGUAACGGUAUCAGGCAAGAGUCCCCGGCCUACCAUAUCAUCAAACAAUCUUGUGGCUUCUUCCCAUUGAGCUGUACGGCACAAUCCAUUAAUUAAGGAGUUGUAAGUCACAACAUCAGGCUUUUCCCCUCUACGGAUCAUUUCUUCCACAAGAUUCAGUGCCUCUGCUGUCUUCCCUUCCUUGCAUAAAGCAUCCAGUACAGAAUUGUAUGUAACAAUAUCAGGCAAGACUCCAUAACCAAUCAUGGUUUUAAAUAAUCUCACACCUUCCUCCCAGUUACCAGACUUGCAUGAUGCGGAAAUCAUGCUAUUAAAAGUGACAACAUUAGGCUUCAGGCCAUUCGUUUUCAUCUUUUCAAACAGAGUAAGCGCUUCUCGAAUUCUUUCCUCCUUGCAAAGACGGCUGAUAAGAACACUAUAUGCGUAUACAUCGGGUGAAAUUCCACUGUUAAGCAUGCAAAUCAAGAAGCUCUUGGCUUUUUCAAACCUCCCCGAUUGGCACAAUGCAUAAAGUAGAGUGUUAUAGGUGACAACAUCUGGCCUGACUCCUUGAUCCACCAUUUCUUCAAACAGAGAGAGCACUUCUUCCCAGCGACUCAUGUUGCAUAACCCAUGAAUCAAAGUGGUAUAAGUGAUAAUACCCGGUACAACACUUUUGUAGAUCAUAUCUCUAAAUAGGGUCAAGGCCUCAUCUAUUUGUCUUUCCUUACACAGGCUAUCUAUGAUGGGAUUGUAGCAGUCUUGUUUGGGCUUGAACCUUCCAUCUUCCAACAUAUUCGUAAGUAUCUCGAGUGCCUUAGAAGUUUUCCCAGCCUUGCAUAGUCCAUUGAUCAUGGUAGCAUAAGUGAUUUCAUCGCAUUUGUAUCCCUUCUCUUCUAUUAACUUGAACAGCUCUAUUGCCUCGGCCCAGGAACCGUACUUGCAAAGCCCGUGAAGUAAAGUGUUUAUAGAAUGAGCAUCGGGUUGAAGACCACAUUUAAGGGUAAUUGCUAAAACAGAGAAACCCAAAUCCACCCGGUUUAGAUGGCACAAGCAAUUCAGAAAAAUAUUCAUUGUACAGACAUUAGGUCGGAAUUGAGCACAACCCAUCAACUGUUUACACAUAGAAACGACAGCAGAAUAUUGCUUCAUCUUGGAGAGUGCCCCCAACAAACAAUUGAAAGUCCAAAUGGAGGGCAAGGGUUUGGUUUGAAUCAUGGAAUUAAAGUAACCCAAUGCUUCAUCUUUCCUAAUUUUUCCAGAUUUGCAUCGAGUUUGGAUCAUACUCUCCGAUUCCAAAUGGGUUUGUUCAAUUCUAUCCGUACAGGUAGGAUUAGCACGAACAGCGUUGGAAUGAAAUCCACUACUUGGAUUCUGCAGAAAGGUAUAAAUGAAAGAAGGAAGAUUACCUGGAGAUGGAGGUCUUGUGGUUAUCCUCUUCAUCUUCAUUUGAAAGCUCUCUACUGUUUUUCUUGGUGUUCGAGGACGAUUUUGGUAUAAGGGCAAGGAUUUGGCUCCAUUUGAGAGCUCUCUCCUGUUUUUCUUCUGUUAGUUUUCAGUUCUUACAAUUCUUUGUGAUUUUCGUUAACGGAAAACUAUUCUGCAUAGCUAAGGCUAGGAGGAAACCUACACUAUAACCUUGUACUUUUAUUAUUUUGAUUUUAUUUUGAAUUUUCGCGGAAUUUUACAUUGUGGAUUUCCAAUUAAAUUUCUUAUUUAAUCUAAUUUCAGAUUGAUGAAUAUUGAUUAUGAUUCAUAGGAUAUACCAUGUUUUUAUUAUAGUUUUGUUUCAACAUUCAUGCUUUUAGUGAAAUGUAUAAAUUGGUUGUUUGGUAUGAUUUUGACGGCAUAGUUUUUUUUUAUAUUUUGUCUUCGUAGGUAUAAACUAUUCUUAGGAUUUUGAGUAAAUUGUAACAAUCAUCCUUUAACUUUAACUCAAUUUGAGCAAUGAUCCCUUAACUAAACAUCAAUUACCAUUAGUCUCUCAACUCAUCAAAACGUGCAGAUAUGGUCCCUCAACUAAAAAUUCAUUACCCUUGGUCUUUCAACUUUAAUCCAACUGGAGAAAUUAUCUCUCAACUUUAAUCCAAUUGUAGUUUUAGUCCUUCCAACAUAACUCAUUUUGACAAAAUUCUGACGAAGUUGAUGAAAAUGACCAUAACUACACGUUAUGAUGAGUUACGGGACCCCAAUUGUAGCAAUAGUUUUUCUAACAUAAUUCAUUUUGACAAAAUUCUAACGAAGUUAAUUAAAAGGACCAUAGUUACACAUUUUCAUGAGUUGAGGGACCAUAAUAAUGAACUUUUAGUUGAGGGAUCAUUGCUCCAAUUUGAUUAAAGUUGAGGAGUCAUUGCUACAAUUUACUCUUAUUUCUAUAAGAAAUCUAAAGGGCUUAUAUAGUUCGAAAUCCAAAAUGGAGAUUUAAUCACCAAAAGCUUUUAUAUUGAGAAAACUUAAUUGUCAUAUCCUUCGGUUUUUUAUUUCUUCGGUCCCUUCAGCGUCAAGUGCUCCUAAUUUUCUAGAUUUUAGGUGUUUCUCCUUUGGAUUUUUAGAUGUACAAGAGUAGAAACCUUCCGUACAUAAGCUUCACAUCCUCCCUCAACAAUUUGUGUGUCUGUUUGUCGAAAUUAUUCAUGUCUUCCUAUGUUACGGUUUAAAAAAGGAUUUUGAUAUUGUCCCCAGUCAAUCUGAGGGUUCUAUUUGAUCUCUAAGAAUUGUGGGAAAGAACAGGCAAAUGCAUCUAGACGGGUGGUUUGGUGGUUAGGAGACUUGGAGGGCCAAUGGAGGCAGUCUAUUCUUGCCAUAUUUUAUUUUUUAGGUUAGUAUAUGCAGCUUUAAAUAAAUGAUGUUAUAUCAUCACAAUCUCAUUGCUGGAUUUUAUUCAGCGUUGGUUUCAAUAUGAUAGUAUCAUAUUUAGACUCAAAUGCUAAUAGAUUAUGAGUGGUUUUUAAUCUUUGAUGAUUUGGCAUCUGGUUUUAUCUUUCUUAUGUUGUUUUUUUUAAUUAAAUUUUUUGGAAUUUUCAGAAUUUUGGGUCGUUGGAGGCAAAAUUUGGUUGCUUACUUGACACGAUGAGGUAUAUAAUUAUACACCCAAUUGACUUUGAUCUUUAUGUUUUUAAUAAUUGAUAAAGAGUAGUGUUAAUAAUUGAGAAAUCUUAAGAGAUUUGUUUGGUUUUGAAAUUCCAUCAAAAGCUAUGAUUUUUGUGCGAUUGAUUUUGUGAGGGAGAUAAGACACUACUUUCUAAUUUGGUUUUUUCUCCCUCCAUUUUCAAAUUCCUUCAAAAUCUUGCAAUUUGCCUUUCUAAAUUAGCUUAAGAGUUUUCAUAAAAUUGAAUACUUCGUUAAUUUGAUCAUUGAGAUUGGUUCUGAAAUUCCAAUUUGUUUAAGCAAUGACAAAUUAGGAUUGGUUUUUAAAUUCCCCAUUCAGAAAUACAUAGCAAUUUCAGCUACAAUUUGUUAAGCAAAUACAUGGCUAAUAAUUAACGUCUGUUUACUCUAAAAAAAAACCUUUCCCAAAUCCUCAAAUACAUAGCUAAUUCAAUUAAACGCACAUUUGAUUGCUGCAAUCAAUGUCAGAUAUUCCUUGGGAGUAAGCAUUGUUAAAUUUUAAUUGCAAAUGGCAGCUGAAAUUAUCUUAUUUAUUACCACUAUUGAUUUGGAUAUGUAAUACACAAUGUUUAGAUCAUUUGAUCGGUACUUAGUUAAGUUUAAUACUAGCGGUUUGGCUAUGAUUAAAUUGAUCCGGUCUUGAAUAGUGUGGCAUGUGAGAUGAUAAUAGACUAACAGAGGAAAAGGAGUUGAUGCAUUUGUGUUUGAUUUACAAAUUUUGGCAAAUCCUUGCCAUUUUUUUGGUUUCCUGGUGAUUUAUAAUUAUCUUCAUAACCAAAAAGCGAUAACUUCGAGUUUCUAGAAGUUUUAAUGUGUUUUGCGUUCUGCAUUUUUGUAACGUUCGUACAAGUUGUCACUAAGAUCUUUUGGUUUCUAGCUACUUUAGUUUUUCAGCAUUGAAUUGUAGGUUAGAGUUUUUGAUUGAGUUCUUAUUUAAUUUCAUAUUGGAAUGGGUACAAUAUGAGCACUCCUAAAAUUGGAAAGUUCUCCGAAGAUUGCGAGUAUGGUUGUGUCAUAUAUGGUUUAUUGUCCAUGCAAGGAUGGCGUACCACAAUGGAGGAUGCUGUGAGUGCAUUAAACUUUUCUCUUCCUAUUUGAAGUUGUUUUCAGAACAUAAGUUCUGUUAUGUCCAUUUUCAGAAGUUUCUACUGUUGUAUCAUUUUCCGUCUUUAUUUAGCAUGCUAUAGUUUAGGAUUUCACUAAAUAUGAUUUUACUUGACAUGUUCAAAUUCUCUUAAUCAUGUUCUUGAAUUUUACUAUAUGUAUCGUGUUCUUUGUAUUUCAUUAUCUGAACUCUGUUAUUUGAAUUUGGUUACUUGAAUCGUGCCUAAUAUUUGAUGUGGCCACUGGCUUUGUAUGGUUGGCUGGUGUGCUUUGAGAGUGUUUUUAGUCAAUGGGAGACGGAGGAUAAAGGUGUGGGGCAGCGAAGUCAAGUGGGAUUUGGAAUUUAGGAUGGUAGAAUUUUUGCUAAUUUAUGGGAUUAGAAGUCUUCCUUUAUUUUUGUCUUGGUGUGAUCAAUUGCAACAAAGAAUUUUCAUUAAAUUGAGGCAGUGAACCUACUAAUUUUCAACUGUUGUUUAUCUACAAUCUUCUCCAUUCUCUUGGACCAAACAUGAAAUCCCAAACACCGUAUCACCACAAAGCAAGCAAGCUGAAAAGCAAACCAACAAACCUUUUUUCAGAGGCACUUAACAGAACCUUUCUAUGGGUUAAUUGUUGUUUCAAUUAUACCGGAUUGAAAACGAGUAUGGAACCAUUGGUCAAGCAUAUGGGGCUGUUGCUUCUUUUUCUCAGGGAAAUAGAGCAUACUAGAAAGUUUUGCCCGCGCGUUGCUGCGGGAUUGGAAAUUGUGUGAAAAAUUAUGUUUUACAUGUAUAAACACAUCAACUUAUAUCACAUGUAAUUAAAUCAAGCAAUCUCUAAACAUGAGAAAUGGAUCUUAGAAAGUAUAAACCCUACCUCAUAAUAUUAAUACAAUUAACAAAUUCCCAGUGCAUGAUCACAAAAAGGUAUAGAAAAGUAAUUCAAUUUCUAAAUUUCAAAAAUGGGAAAGAUAAAUUUAAAAAUAAAAAAAAAGGGUCUAGGGUUUAGGGUUUAGGGUCUAAGUUCUCAGUUCUCACCAUAACGAAAAUUAUGAUCUCAUUUUAACAUAAAACUCAGGUUUUAUUUCGGUCACCAGCAUUAUAAAGCUAGUGAUUUCAACUUGUGCAAGCAAACAACUGAAUUAGACGUAAGCCUAACUUCAAUUUAACCAAAUAAAAAAAAACAAUCACGAUCAAACUAACCACUCUUAUUCUCAUAUGUAGAAGCUAUCCUUUGUUUUGCCUUUGUGAGCAGUGCACUUUCCAUUCUCUACACACAAAAUGAUCAGCAACAUUAAAAAACUUAAUAAAUUGUAUGUAUACAUUACUAUAUAUGUAUUUGGACAUAAAGUACAAAAAUUUACUAACAAAUUAACAAAAGAAGUAAUUAUGAAUUGGAAUUAAAUGAUAUUAUAGUUGUUAAAAAAAUACCUGACCAAGUUUUACAAAUAGGAUCAUAAAUUGUUAAAAAAAAUAACUGCACUGAAAUAUCUAAUUACUCAAAUCUAUAAUUCUAUUAAAACACAUCACUGAAAACCCCAAGGAGAGGUGAAUAUUCCUAACCUUGCACAGUUAAAUUUGCAUUUUGUUUGAGGGGAGAAAAAUGAUCAGAACUGAUAAGUCAAUAGUUAAAUAGGUUUACUCUGGUGUCAAAUAUUUUUUAAUACAUACAUAAUGUUGUCUAUUUAAAUCAACAUUGAUUCUUGCAUACCUUCGGUUAUAUAAUGUUUGGAGUUGAAUGUAUAUAUACCCAAAUGGGAAUAAUUCUUUAUCCGAAACUUAGAAAAAACCAACUCAUCCGAGAACGCAAUGGAACUUAGCUGCAACUCCAAUUUAAUCAAUGUCAAUUAUUAUAUUGAAACAAUGUGAUCAAACUUAAUCAAAACUCCAAAUCCACCAAAAGUUUAAAUUUCUUACCUUGAGUGCUUCAGAAAACGACGGCAUUCUAGCCUGGAAAUAAAAUCCCCAAAAUCAGAAAAAUGAAAUUUGCACAGAAUCUUUGGAGGCCAAUUUCGUGAAUAUUUUGCAAACUAUUAGAAAUCCUAUUUAAAAUUUUACUCACGUUAUCAACAAUGCCAGCCUUUGCCUCAUCUCUCCUUUUACGUUGGCUUGUAUAAGUUUGUUUUCAAUAAAACCCUGUAAGAAAGGGAAAGUAGAGGAAAGUUUAAUGAUAUAAACAAAUAAUAGAACAGAUCCCAUAAGUUCCCUAAAAUGAAAGCUACAAUAUGCACAAAAUGUAACUAUUAGUAAUAAUAACCAAUGUAAUCAAACAUGAAUAAAAUGGUAUCGUACAAUUGUGUUCUUUUUCAUACAGCUCUGAGGUUGAGUCUUAUGAAAUGGCAAGUUUGAUACAAAUUAUAUUUCCGGAAAAAAUUCCUCUAAUCAGAUUAUCUACCCGCUUGACUUCAUCUUCAAUAGCAUCAUUAAGAUCUCAUUAAGAUCCACUACAUUCUCAAACAGGGACAUUGCCUUGGCAUUCUCUUCAUCCUGAAGAGUUUAAUCAUGAUCACAAUUCCGAACUCCAAGUCAAUCAAUUAUCUACAUCAAUGGACUAAUAAAGUGUCCAAUAACGAUAAAAAGUACCCACCUUGACUUUCUUGAAUAUAUCUUGGAAUCCCAACUCCCUAAGAACUUGCUCCCGAAGUCUGCAAAGAAGCUGGAUUUCCCAAACACAGCAGGUAAAAAAAAGAAACUUAAAUGCUAAGAAAACGAUGCUGCGAUAAAUCAUGACUACAACAUAAUAGAAAGUGAGAAAUCAACUCAAAUCAAAAUUUUGAGCUUACAAUGCAAUCCGGCGGGCCGCUGUGACUCUCAAGAUCCUUCUUCAAGUCCUCCAGUAUCUCAGUGUACCUUUCAGGCAAACACAUAAACAAAUUGCGGGCAUUUCCAAAAACCCAAUUCACUCAUCACAAAAAAAUCAGUAAAGUGUGUACCUCUGAGCAAAUUUCUCAGGUCUGGCCGGAGCGUCGGGAACCGAUGCGCCAGACUCAGCUCGUUUCCUGCCGAAAACCAAUCAAACCCAUUAACGAAAAACCCAAGAAAUUAAGGUUUAUGAUGGAGGUUGGGGAAAUGAUGAGGAUUAUCACUUGAAGGAGGGGGUGGAGUUGUAGAAGAGGUCGAUCCAAGAGAGCUCAGUGGAAGUGGGCUUUCGGGAAUUGUCGGAGGGAAAUCUGUAGGGGAUGGUGCAGGCUCUGUAGUUGAAUUCGAUCGGCAUCGUCAACAGUGGAAAUAAAGAGUGAAUUAGAAGAUUUAUCAGAGAGCUUACCUCUGCAGUUGUUGCCACUGCGCCUUCAUGUUUCACCCAGAUGCAGACUUCAAUCUAUCUAAAACUGCAAGAUCCACACAUAAACCACAAUAUUACAAUUCUUUUCAACUUAAUUACCCAAAAACAACAAACUUUAAAAUACCCCAAAUACAUAGCACCCCUAAAUUCACCAUCGUCUUUGACAAACGAAACUCAGCUCUCAGCGAUGGCGACAUUCGGUUCGGGUGAGUUGUCAGAGGUGAUCGGCUAGCAUAAAAAUCGACCCCAUCAAUACUCACAUCCCAAAUUUCAAAAAUUUUAUCAAAAUUGAUGCAAAACUAACUAAAACCCAUCAAAAUCAGGGAAAAAGAUGAGUUUUACCCGAGGAAUCGAGCUGAACAUAUAUCUUCUGGGUUCUACCUUUACCUGCAUAGAAAGUCAAAAAUUAAAAACCCACAAACCAAAAACUUAAAAUAAAAAAAAAUCAAAUUUCUUUCUCUAGAGGUUUAGACAAAGAAACAUCUUCACCUGCACAGAAAGUCAAAAAUUAAAAACCCACAAAUCAAAAACUUAAAAACCAAAAAAAAAAAAUCAAAUUUCUUUCUCUAGAGAUUAUGACAAAGAAACCUGAAGAGAUCUCUGACGGGUUUCCAAGGGAGAGGUCGAAAUGGAAGAGAUGCCGUCCAACGGAUGGGGAGGAGGAAGGAAGGAAGAACAGAGCAUCGUUUCUAUUUUUCCAGAAAAAUAUCUGCACAAAUUUUGACUAGUUCAUCAUUCUUAGCAAGAAAGUGAGAGAGAGACACAGAGAACCCCAGAUCGGAGAGCCAGAAAACGUGAGGAUUGAGAGGAAGAAAAGCGUUUGUGAGACACGGAUCGAAAAGGAUGGAAGGCUCCAGAAGACCAACGUGUCGACAUCCAAUGGAGUGUGAGAACCAAAGCACCAAGGAAAUCGAAACCGGAGAGGAUAAACGCGCGGCCUCGGAGAGCGAAGUCAUUUUACUGUAGAAAAGAGGGUAAAAAAGUGGCUUAACAAACGAAUUGAGGGGCAUUUUGGUCCGCACACUGCCCUAAAACAGUAACCAAAUGUUUGGGUUUAAUAUAUAUAGAAUUUUACAACCAUAUGUUUUGUAAUCAGCUCGGUUGAAUGUAUAUAAAAGUUAAGCUGCUUAUCUUACCGACACUGUUCACUCAUCUAUCCCUUUUGUUCAUUCAUGAUUAUAUUGAAUUUUUUUUUCAGGUUAAAUGUGUCUUAUUAAUAUAGUUAAGGCUAAUGCAUUCAAGUCCCGCAGCAACGUGCAUACAUAUUACUAGUUACUUUAGUUUAAAGAAAGGGGAGAAAUUGCCCUGUACGAAUGUGCAACGUUUGUGUCCGAAUUUUUUAUUGCGAGUCUCAAGGCCUACAUCUAAGAUCCUAAAAGGCAUCUUUCAGAACUUACUUCAUUCUCUUCUUGCAGCACAUCAGCAAGCAAGAGCCUGACCAUACAUCCAAAGUCUUGAGAAGCUUCCAAAUAAAAUAAAAAUUUUCAUUUGGCGAUGUUGUAAUAAAGCGUUGGCAGUUAGACAUAAUCUUCAUCGGAGGCGCAUGAGGGUUGAUAACGUCUGUGGGGUCUGCGGCGCAAUGGAGGAGACGGAAAAUCACCUAUUCUUCCAAUGUGAAUUCAGCCAUCGUUUCUAGUUCUGCUCUCCUUUGCACCUAAACUCCCAUGGUAUGAAUGGUGCAGAUUUUCUGACUAAUUGGGAACUCUUCCAUAAAAGUGUCAAGGGAAAGGGGGAAGUAGAUGAGAUACUGCAAGAUUUCGCCUUCGGCCUCUGGAGGUUGUGGAAGAACAGGAAUGAAACAGUCUUCAACGGAACGCAACAUCAACCUCUGGACGUUCUGAACAUCUGGAGGAGCAGUCUGGCUGAGUUCAGAGAAGCCACUACCAGGACGGCUGAUGGUGAUCGUCCUCCCCGUGACGCGGGGACUUCGGAGGUGAGGCGUCGGGGCGCUAUGUGGACGAAACUUGAGUUUGGCUUUAUCAAAGUAAAUACGGAUGCUGCGUGGUGUAAGAAUUCCCUUCGUAUGGGUGUGGGGUGGGUGUGCCGAGACUUUGCCGGUGUACUCCAAGCUGCAGGGGGUCGGGCACCGGGCUAUGCCACUCUGCUGCGGCGGGCGAAGCCCAUGCCAUUCGUGAGGCCAUUUUGGCUUGCACAUCGUUGGGCUUUAACAAUAUAAUCAUCGAAUCUGAUGCGAUGGUGAUCAUACAAAUGCUUAGGAAGGAAAUACCUUCUGAUUUUAGUCUGGAUUGUAUUCUUGGUGAUAUUGAGGUUCUAGCACGUAGGUUGACGUCUGUUUCGUUUGCCUUUGUGUCUAGGGAGAGCAAUGCUGCGGCUCACUCAGUGGCCAAGUAUGUUUUCAAGCAAGGCAAAGAGUUCAUUUGGGACUGUAUUGGCCCGGAUUUUUUGUUUAAUACUCUUGCAAGGAUGUAAACAUCUCUAUUCGUAUUUAAUGCAUCUCUAUCUUUGGGAAAAAAAAAGUCUUGAGAAGCUAUGCUGAGUACCGAAGACCACCUUUUCGAAAAAAUCUUCGUCCGAACAAGAAGUCUUGCUUUCCUUAACAUCAUAAUCCACGGUGCUUUUUCUGAACAAUUAUUGCUUUGUAUUCCACACAUUUACCUUUGGAGCAAGUGGAACUUUUCUUUUAAAAUAAAAGAAAGCCGAAUGGUGGAGAAGUUGGAGGGGACAAUUGUUGCAAGUUGUUUGAAAAAAAAAAGGAAAAGAAAAGAGCACUUGCCUUUGUGGCUUUGAAAAGUGUGUGUGUUUUGUCGACUCGCUCUUGGGGCACUUGCCUGUGCCUUCUCAUUGAGUAUUGGAGCUUUAAAAACACAGGUGUCUGUGUUUUGUCGACGUAAUUGAUGGUGUUGAUGUUAAAAUGUGAUUCAUGAUGAUGAAAGAAAAGAAAUAAUAGUACAAUAAUAAAAAGGUGAGGUGCAUCGGCACCAUCACAGAAAUAAUAGUAAAAUAUAAUUUAAAAAAAAAAAAAGAGAAAUGGGGACAAAUGUUUCUGGAGCUAUGUGGAAGAUAAUGAGAGAAAUUGCACUGUAUGAACGUGCAGGGUCAGGAUUUCAUUUUAUUUACGAGACUCUCUUACUUUAGUCUAAAGUUAGGGGAGAACAAUACCAAAAAAAAAAAUUUAAUAGAAAUGGUUUGAAAACUUUAAGUUUUAAUGAUAAGAAUAAAAUAAAAGGUAAAGUAAAUAGUAUCAGGAUUAAUCUUUUUAACGUAAAAAUAUACAUUUUCUUUAAAAUAAACAAUAUUGCAGAUUUUUCGAUAAAACACUGUUACAAAAAAAGAACUAACCUUAUUUACAAAGUCAUUUACAAAGUCUUCGUGUAAACAAUAAAGACUUCAAUUAUCAGGCUUAUGGUGUGUUUGUUGCGCCGGACUGUCUCGGACUGGACUAGCUGCCGGGACUAAGCUGGACUGGCUUAGACUGGACUAAGCUGGACUAACUUAGUGAAGCGUUUGGUGCAGUCUCGGACUAAGAAGCAGGAUAAGAAAAACAGUAUUGUUCACCAGAUUUGUGUUUGCUUAGACUAGGACUACAAAUUUUUGCCAUUGUGUAAUAGAGUAAUGCUACAAAUAUCAUGAUAUGGGUUAAUUGGAACAUAUUUUUACCAUGUAUAUUAUGAAUCUUAAAAAAAAUUGACAAUUGUUUUGUUUCUAUUACCUGCUAAUAGAAUUGGGUUUAAUUUGCAAAUGUAGCUUGAUUUAAACUCUAUCACCCAACAGAAGAAAAAUAAUAGUGGCCAAUACAUGCAACUUCAACAAAUACAAGUACAUAAGAUCUCCAUAAUUUAGAAAAUCCUAGUUAACAUUAGUUAACAUUAGCCAAAAUAGAUCUCCAUAAUUUACAAAAUGGCUAGUUAACAUAAGCCAAAAUACUAGUGCAAAGCUAAGUUAUAAGUCAUAACAUAAGAUUGUAUGAUUAAUAAAAUACAUCCAUGUUAACGUUAAUAAAAUACAUCCAUGUUAACAUUAGCCAAAAUCCUCAUCCACUUGCGUUGUCGCUUAAAAGCCUUUGGACGAACACUUUCUUGAGUUCCGGUUUGAUUGCCCUGAACACUUCCACAUUUUUUGGUUUAUCCAAAAUAAGAGACAAUGCAUCAAUUUGAUCCAUAGGAGAGAGACCCAUUGCUUCAAGUUCAUUAGCUAUGUCAGUAUGAUCUGCAGUACCUUGAACUAAAGCUUCAGUUACCAUUUGCAUCCUCUUCCCACUUUCAACAUAAAAAUCUUUCAGUCCAUUGAUAAUUGCCUCAGUUCCAUCACUUGAACUUCCCACAGCUCUUUCCUCUUUCUUUGGCUAUUUUCAAAUGGGGUGCUUUGUUGGCUUUGUUGGUUCAUUGAAGAAACAAAAUUAUCACCUCCAAUAUCACUUUCACCAACAUGAUCAUGACUUUGUUCCUCCACCAUUUGAGCAGGGGUUUCGGCUACAUUACCCGUAGCCCGAUCUUUUCCAAAUAUAUAUGCAAAUCUAUCAAACAGUGGAAAAUGUUUGCUUCUCCAUCCAUCGGCUUCUUUAUUUCUCUAAGAUUAUAUCAACAUAGCAAAACUAAAAUUUAGCAUGCGUAACAAAUAUAGCAGCAAGAAUAUAACUAAUGCAUAAAUAAAAUAGGAUAUGAACCUGCACAUAAGUUUGCCAUGCGUCAUCACUGUCAACUUCAACGCACUUUUUGACAUCAUUCCAUGCAAAUCCACUUGUGUUUAUCAUGUCAACGACCAUACUAUAUGUUUUUUUUCCAUUUCUUCAACUUGGACUCAAUAUGUGGAUUUGCCUUUAUAUUUGAAUGAGGACAUAAAACAUUGACAGCUUUUGCUAUUUCAACCCAAAGUACCUUGUUUGAAAGCACCGGUGUCACACCGUUGCUUCCGAGCAACAAAAUCCUCAAGAACUCCUAGUAAUACUUCUUCCUCAAAUGCUUCCCAUUUACGCCUUCUUCCUUUUGGCUCUUUAGUAGCAUUCAAAAAAUUUUCGUUAUCCAUACCUAAACAAAAAAUAUUUUAAUGAAGGAAAAAUACCAUACAAAUAAUCAAUUUGCAUAAUAUCCAAUCAACUUGCAUAAUAUCCAAUCAACUUGCAUAAUAUCCAAUUAAUUUGCAUACCAUCCAAUCAUUGUGCUAAUAUCUAACAAAUGCAUGAUAAAAAGGAAUACUAAAAUAAAAUGUUAUCAUUAACACAUAUAGCUAGUUCGGUUGCUGGUUCCUAAUUGCUCUCCACUCAUUAUACAUUUCCUGAGCCAUAUCAUUCCUCAUUGCAGUCCACUGGUCCGAUGUUUGAACACUACCAACAUAUAUCACCUUCUUCUGUAUUUUGUCCAUCUUCUAUUAUUGGCAAAUUCUCCAUUGGAUCUACAGACAUCUCUUGCCUAAUAAGAUUGUGUAGUAGGCAACAAGCGGUAAUUAUUCGACCUUGUGUCCUUAUCGGAUAGAAAGAUGGACUCCUUAGUAUCGACCACCUUCCUUUUAGCAAGCCAAAACAGCGUUCAAGUACAUUCCUUGCCUUAGAAUGCUUCAUGUUAAAAUAUUCUUCCUUAUUAGAAGGUGUUCGUCCCUCCCAUUCAGAUAAAUGAUAAGGUAUUCCUCUAUAGGGUGCAAGGAAUCCUUCACCAUUUGUAUGACCACCAUCUACAAGGUAAUAACAACCUAAUGAAAAAAAAACAGACCUUAUUAGUGUUUUGUAGUUGACAAACAAAACUAAACCUAACUUACAAAGUUGAGACUAAGUAAUAGUCUUACCCGCUGGUACCUUAAAACCAUUAGGCCUACUAAUUGCAUCAUGUAGCACUGUAGAGUCUGAUGCGGAACCCUCCCACCCCGGAAACACAUAUAUGAACUGCAUAUCUCCUGAACACACACCUAACACAUUAGUUGCGACUCGACCCUUUCUUGUUCGGUAUCUUGGUUUGUCAAUUUCAGGUACAUGCACAUCAAUGUGUGUUCCAUCCAAUGCUCCCAAGCAAUUCUUAAAAAUAAAAAAUAAAAAAGUUUUUGUUAUUUAUACAAAGGGAAUUAAGAGUUAAAGCUUAGGGAAAAUGAAAAAAAAUUCUCAUCAUACCUUAAAACAUCGCCACCUAGGAUCUGUAGAAUCAAUAGGCACAGGCUGGGGGACUUUUAGUAGGAUACCUUGUAAUCGCAAAAUUCCUUGCAAUACGCUAUUGAAAUACCUACUUAUAGUCUCUCCCGACCUAUAAAAUCUACCGCCAACACUACGAUUCUUAGUAUGAUGUGCUAAUAUUUGUAAAGUCGUACAUACAUGUUCCUCUACAGACACCAAACCAUCAGUUUUUACCCUCCCAUCUUGACGAAGUAAGUCGCAUAAUAUGCCAAAAGUCCUUUUAUCCAUUCUCAAUUCGUUGACACAUUCAGUAUCAGUAUUCCCUAUUAUACCAUUCAGAUAAUACAAACUAAUCUCUCGUCUAAUAAGUGAACGGUUAGUCAAUGUGGGUCGUUUAACAUGUCUCUGUUUGCCACGUAGCAUCAUCACCACAAGAAUCGUACAAAUACAAAUUAUCUCCAAAUAAGACAUCUCUAAUAAUAAGAUCAAUAAAAGCUUCAUUCGAUCCAUAUCUAUCCAAACAAACAAAAAAACAAUAGUAUGAGGAUUGCUAUCAUUCCUAGGCAUUGCAUGUGAAGAGGGAAAUUAAAGGACACCUGUAAUGCAGUAACCUUAGCCUUAGCCUUUUGUUUAUGCUCCUCUUCUCUGCAACAAACAACCACAAAAAAUUGCAAUUCAGCAUCAACCCCACAAAACAUUCACAUUGUAAUAUCAUGGUUAUAAACCAAGUACAUACACACACACUCAUGGACAAAUGUGCAAAAUACACAUACAUAUUCACACUCACACUCACACUAACACACACACACGGAAAUACACACUCUCACACACUGACAUAGACUCACACACACCCUGCAUACAUACAUACACACACACACUGCACACACACACACACUGCAUACAUACACACACACACACACACUGCACACACACACACUGCAUACACACUCACACACACACACUGCACACACACACACUGCAUACACACACACACUGCACACACAGUCACAGUCACACUCACACUCAUACUUACACUCACACACACACACUGCAUACACACACACACACACUGCACACACACUCACACUCACACACACUCACACUUACACUCACACUCACACUCACACACUGCACACAGCCACUCACACACACACACACACUGCACACACGCACACACACACACAACACACUGCACACACACACUGCACACACUGCACACACACACUGCAUACAUACACACACACACACACUGCACACACACACUGCAUACAUACAUACACACACACUGCAUACAUACUCAUACUCAUACACACACUGCACACACUGCAUACAUACAUACUGCAUACAUAUACACACACUGCACACACACACACUGCAUACAUACACUGCACACACACACUGCAUACAUACUCAUACACACACUGCACACACACACACUGCAUACAUACAUACAUACACACUGCAUACAUACUCAUACUCAUACACACACUGCACACACUGCAUACAUAUACACACACUGCACACACACACUGCAUACAUACACUGCACACACACACUGCAUACAUACUCAUACACACACUGCACACACACACACUGCAUAUAUACCGCAUACAUACACACACACACACUGCAUACACACUCACACACACACUGCACACACACACACUGCAUACAUACAUACACACACACUGCACACACACACACUGCAUACAUACAUACUGCAUACAUAUACACACACUGCACACACACACACACACUGCAUACAUACUCAUACACACACUGCAUACAUACCGCAUACAUACACACACACACUGCAUACACACUCACACACACACUGCACACACACACACUGCAUACAUACUCAUACUCAUACACACACUGCACACACUGCAUACAUACAUACUGCAUACAUAUACACACACUGCACACACACACACUGCAUACAUACACACUGCACACACACACACACUGCAUACAUACUCAUACACACACUGCACACACACACACACUGCAUACACACACACUGCACACACACUCACACUCACACUUACACUCACACUCACACACUGCACACAGUCACACACACACACACACGGGGACAGAGUGCAACACACUCUUACCCUCACACACACACUCUGUUUUUAUACUCACACACACACACACACACACUGCAUACAUACUCACACACACACACUGCACACACACUGCAUACAUACACACACACUGCACACACACACACACACUACACACACACACUGCAUACAUACACACACACACACACAUUGCACACACACACACACUACAUACAUACACACACACACACACUGCAUACAUACACACACACAUUGCAUACACACACACACAUUGCACACACACACACACACUACAUACAUACACACACACACACUGCAUACAUACACACACACACACAUUGCAUACACACACACUGCAUACAUACACACACACACACACAUUGCAUACAUACACACACACAUACUGCAUACAUACACACACACACACUGCAUACAUACACACACACAUUACUGCAAAUUCAAAAGAACCAGAGUAAGAGUGAGAGACAGAGAGAGAGGGUUACUUUGACUGGGAUCAAACAGGGGAGGAGGAUGGGCGAUUUGGUUGGAGUGUUCCUGAGAGGUCGCCUGAGAAAAAGGUGGAGGAGCAGGGCGAGCAGGAUCUGCAAUUUGACCCUAAAAAUCAAAACUCUAAUUUGUUCAACUACAGAGGUAUAUUAUUGAAAAUUUCUCAAACCCAAAACAAUUAAAUCAAAUAAAGCUUAGUAAUAUCACGAUCUGCAAAACAAAUUGAAGAAAUAAAUCGAAGAUUCGAAGUUUACCAGGCAAGAAGAGCAGAUAAGGGCGAGCAAGAUGCAGAUGAAGGCAAGCAAGACGCAGAGAUGAGGGUGAAGAGGACGAGGAUGAGGGAGCAAGGCAAGCAGGGAGCGAUGGCGACAACUCUCUCUCUCGCAGGAUGAGCGAGGUUUUCUCUCGCGGAAGGUCUUGCGAGUCCGGCCGAAUUUGGGGUUCUCGGCUAAGAACUCCUAGCGAACCCCUUAAUCCGAGCGAGUCCCAUUUAAUCCCAUUAAACCUAAUCCUGGUGCAGAACAAACAAGGGACUACAAUCUAGUCCAAUCCAGUCCCCCCUAAUCCGGUCAAACAAACGGGUCCUUAAAGUCUUCAUGUGCACAGGCUUAAAGUCAUUUACAGUGUUUGUGUCCGAAUUUCCCUUUAUUUACGAGACUGCCACUAUCAUGUCUCUUCUCACUUCUCUAUUAUUUCUGCAGGAAAAAGACAGAGUUUAUAGAAUGGUACAUGGCAUCUGAAAAGAAGGAAUAUAAUCUUAGAAGUUUUAACGAAAAGUCUACGGUACUGUUUACUUUAACGAAAAACCACAUUUUACACUAAAAAGUCAAACCUGAUACUAUUCACUUUACCUUUUAUUUUGUCCUUAUCGUUAAAACUCAAAGUUUUCAAGCCCUUUUCACUAGUUUCCUUAUAAUCUUAUAUAGAAAGCCGUUGGGUUGGUCAACAGUGUUGCACAGUGCAACAUUUUUUUUACCAAUUUACCCUUGCACAAUUUGAAAUAUGAUUUUGGGUAGCUUUUGAUUUUUUUUGGCAGAGGGGCAUUUUCGUCCAAUUAUUUUGUCGAAGCCAGUGACACCAAAGUUUUGUCCGCAUGUGCACUGUUUACUUUUCACUUCUUUAUUUUUAAAUACGUUCAAAACAUCAUAAGAAGCGUGUAAUGCAGGUUAUAAAAAAGGUCUUUCGCACGCGAAUAAUAAUGUGAUUAAAUGAAUUGUCAAAUGAUUUUUUUUAAACAAACGAUAUUAUCUACAUUAAAAGGGAGUAGGUGAGCUUGGCCUCACAAUGACUAGCAAUAAUAUGAUUCAAUCAAUUGUUUAUUAAAUAUUAUUUUCUCUAUUAUGUCAAAUGAUCAAUUUUUUCUUUAUAAAAAAGAUCUUUCGCACACGGAUAAUAAUGUGAUUAAAUUAAUUGUCAAAUGAUUUUUUUUUACCAAAUAAUAUUAUCUACACGAAGAGGGUGAGCUUAGCCUCACAAUGUGCUAACAAUAAUGUGAUUCAAUCAAUUGUUUAUUAAAUAUUAUUUUCUCUAUUCCUGAUGUAAAUUCUAUAAAAACCGAUUUUAUUAUGUGAAUUCAGCUACUUUAAUUAAAUAUUAUUUUCUUCUAGCAUGAUCUAAAAUUAUUCAUUUACUUCAAAUAUUUAAAUUUUUUUUUAUCAAUUUACGUAUAUAAAUACAUUUAAAAUGUGUAAGUCGCACAUAACACGCCGUAAUUCAAAAAAUGCCUUCUGCACGCGAGUGAAGGCUAGUAAUAAUAAAAAUGAAACUAAUGAAAAGGACUUGAAAACUUUGAGUUUUAACGAUAAAGACAAAAUAAAUGGGAAAUUAAUGGCAUUGAGCGCAAUAGAAGGUAAGCCAUAAUCCUAAAUAUGAGGAUUCUCAAUCUUCAUCUCUCCAUGAUUUUAUAGUUUGAAAUUCAUUUGUUUUUUUAUUUUUUCUUGGAAUUAGAAAAAAAAUACCCAAGCGUUCGGAAAUUUCUCAAAAGAAAUUGUUCAUUAACUGACUGAAAAAAUUCGCAAUUUUGUAUGUAAAGGUAAAGCACUUGAAGGGAGGCAUGUGCCGCUUUGUCGACUUUAUUGAAAUAAAUUGUCGUCAACUAACUUAAAAUAUUUGCAACUUUGUACCUAAAACACGUAAAGGAGCCCUCAUCCUUUAAAGAUAUAUAUUAUACUUUUUGUUAUAAAUAGGCAAAAUUUAUAGAGAGAUAACCUUUACUCGGUGAAGGAACGAAGCAGUUGCAGAGUAAUAUACCGACACAAGCUGUUGCAGAGGAAGUAAUUUAUAUUAUUGCUAUUAGAUAUAUUUCUCUUUUCUUUCUUCUUCUCAUUCACUAAUCUUUGCACAAUUGAAUUGCUCUAUUUAUAGAGCUACUUCAAUGGAAAAUUACAAAACAUUACUAUUUAGCUUAUGAGUAUAUAGUACACAUGUGAUACUUUACUAUACACAUUACUAUACACAUGUGGGCAAACAUACCCAUCAUUUACAACACUCCCCCUUGGAUGCCCACAUAUCAACAUCAGUUGCCUCAUUAAAACCUUGCUUGGAAAAACCCUGUGGGAAAAAAACCAUAGCGAAGGAAAAAGAGUACAACUUUACCCGGAUGGUGUUGAGCAUGCUUAGGUUGCCUCGUUAAAAACCUUGAUAGGAAAAACCCAGUGGGAAAAAUCCUAAGCGAAGGAAAAAGAGUACAACAUGCAUGUAUCAUGGAUGCUCCCCCUGAAUUGUAUCUCCCCCUGAUUCCGCAUUUUUCAAAUCUGUAAGCCGACGUAAUCCGAUUCCCUGUACCAACUUCUGAAAUGUGCACUUUGGUAGAGAUUUGGUGAACAAGUCUGCUAAAUUUUCAUUGGAACGGAUUUGUCUGACUUCAAGAACUUUAGCCUUCUGAAGCUCAUGUGCGCUGAAAAAUCUUGGAGAUAUGUGUUUAGUCUUAUCACCUUUGAUAAAUCCUUCCUUCAUUUGGGCGACACAGGCUGCAUUAUCUUCAUGGAUGACAGUUGGAGUGUCUGUCUUUGAAGGUAGACCACAUGAAUUCCGGAUGUGAUGGAUCAUUGAUCUUAACCAAGAACAUUCACGACUUGCUUCAUGUAAAGCAAUUAUUUCCGAAUGAUUGGAAGAUGUUGCAACUAGCGUUUGCUUUGUUGAUCGCCAUGAAAUUGCAGUAUCUCCAUUAGUGAACACAUAUCCAUUUUGUGAGCGGGCUUUAUGCGGAUCGGAGAGAAAACCAGCAUCUGCGUAUCCAACAAGGAUUUGUUCAUUUGUGGGCUUGUCUGAGUAGAAGAGACCCAUAUCUGUUGUCCCACGAAGGUAUCGUAGAACAUCUUUGACUCCCUUCCAAUGACGAAUUGUUGGAGCAGAGCUGUACCUGGCUAACAAGUUAACUGAAAAAGCUAUAUCUGGUCUAGUACAUUGUGCUAAAUACAAUAAAGCACCUAUUGCGCUCAAAUAUGGUACUUUUGGACCAAGGACCAGUUCAUCAUCUUCUUUUGGACGAAAUGGAUCUUUCUUAAUGUCCAAAGAACGAACGACCAUUGGGGUGCUAAGUGGAUAAGCUUUGUCCAUGCCAAAUCGCUUCAGUAUUUUUUCAAUGUAAGCUGAUUGAUGGACCAAAAUUCCACUAACACAAUGCUCGAUCUGCAGGCCUAGACAAUAUUUGGUUUUCCCAAGGUCUUUCAUUUCAAAUUCGUUUUUCAGAUAUUCAGCAGUUUUGUUGAGCUCUUCGGGGGUUCCAACUAGGUUCAUAUCAUCGACAUAUACUGCCACUAUAGCAAAUCCAGUAUUUGAUUUCUUAAUGAACACACAAGGGCAGAUGACAUUGUUGGCAUAUCCUUCUUUAAUCAAAUACUCACUGAGACGAUUAUACCACAUUCGCCCAGAUUGUUUCAGCCCAUAUAGUGAUCGCCUUAAUUUGAUUGAGAACAUACCCCGUGGUUUGUUAGUUGCUUCAGGCAACUUAAGUCCUUCUGGGACUUUCAUAUAUAUGUCAGUAUCUAAUUCUCCAUAUAGAUACGCGGUGAUGACAUCCAUAAGUCGCAUGUCAAGUUUUUCUGAAAUCACCAAAACUUAUUAAGUAACGAAACGUAAUUGCAUCCAUUACAGGAGAGUAUGUCUCUUCAUAAUCAACUCCAGGUCUUUGUGAAAAACCUUGUGCAACGAGUCGUGCUUUAUAUCUUGCAAUCUCGUUUUUCUCGUUGCGUUUCCUUGUGAAUACCCAUUUAUAACCUACAGGGUUCACACCAGGCGGGGUUUGGACUACUGGUCCAAAAACACUUCGUCUUUCCAAGGAUUUUAAUUCUGCCUGGAUUGCAUCUUUCCACUUAGGCCAAUCUUGUCUCUGUUUGCAUUCAUCAACAGAGCGGGGCUCAAUAUCAUCACUUAAUAUGAUUUCAGUGGCUAUUGCAAAUGCAAACAUGUCAUCGAUGAUUAUUUCAUUUCGAUCCCACAAUUCAUUAGUACAUGCAUAAUUUAUGGAUAUUUCUUUACUUUCAUGUACUUCUGUCUCUUCAGGGACAUGUGUCUCAUCAAGGACAUUUUCUUUUUCUGGAAGUACAGAGUCACGAAUUGUGGAUUUAUCAUUCAAUUCCUUUUCUUGAAUGAUAUCAUUUGGGUUCAAUUGGGCCCUCAUCUUUCUCUUUCGAGGAGCUGAAUCUUUUGAACCUGGGGGUCUACCACGCUUCAGGCGUGCACUGGAUGAAUCAUUCGCUGCCACUUUAUUUUGUCCAACAGGGACAUCAAUUCUUGCAGGUGCGUUUGCAGCCGGUAUAUAUGACUGUGUCACUUUCGAAGCAUCAUUAAAUGCAUCUGGCAUUUGAUUAGCAAUACCUUGAAGAUGAACGAUUCUUUUCACUUCGUUUUCACAUUGAGUGCUUCUUGGAUCAAAAUGAGAUAAGGUGGGAACAACCCAUGUUAGCUCUUGUCGUUCUUCUGGAACGGUCUUUUCUCCCCCUAACGACGGGAAAAUUGUCUCAUCAAAAUGACAAUCAGCAAAACGAGCUGUAAGCACAUCACCAGUCAAAGGUUCCAAAUAUCUAAUGAUAGAUGGUGAAUCAAAACCCACAUAAAUUCCCAAUCUGCGCUGAGGUCCCAUUUUAGUUCGUUGUGGUGGUGCAAUAGGCACAUAAGCAGCACAACCAAAAACUCGUAAAUGUGAAAUAUUUGGCUGAUGUCCAAACACGAGUUGUAUUGAUGAGUAUUGGUGGUUGGCUAUGGGUCUCAAUCUAACCAAUGAUGCAGCAUGUAAUAUGGCAUGUCCCCAUGUAGAAACUGGCAAUUUCGUUUUCAUGAGCAGAGUGCGGGCUAUUAAUUGAAGCCGCUUGAUAAAUGCCUCUGCUAAACCAUUUUGAGUAUGGACAUGAGGAACAGGGUGUUCAACAUUAAUGCCCAGUGCCAUACAGUAAUCAUCAAAGGUUUGAGACGUAAAUUCACCAGCGUUAUCAAGUCGAAUGGACUUAAUGGGAUGAUCUGGGAACUGUGCUCGCAACUUAAUUAUCUGAGCAAGAAGUCUCGCAAAAGCUACAUUUCGAGUAGACAAUAGGCAAACAUGUGACCAUCGGGUAGAUGCAUCAACCAAAACCAUAAAAUAUCGAAAUGGUCCACAAGGUGGUUGAAUAGGUCCACAAAUAUCCCCUUGAAUUCUUUGCAAAAAUGAUGGGGAUUCAUCAUCAACCUUUAGUUGUGAUGGUCUAAUUACCAACUUCCCUUGGGAACAAGCCUUGCAAGGAUUAUCAUUCGGGACAUUAAUGUGUCUGCUCAGUAAUGGAUGUCCAUUUAGAGUUGGUAAUGAUUCUACGCAUCAUGGUGGAUCCUGGAUGACCUAGACGGUCAUGCCAAAGCAUGUAAACCUUUGAAUCAAUGAACUUAUGGUUCAUGACAGUAUAUGCCUCAACUGUCUUUAUGUAUGUACAAUACAAUCCACUCGAUAAACCAUGCAACUUCUCCAAUAUACGCUUCUGGGUAUCGUUGGAGGUAAUGCAUAAAUAUUCCACAUUUUCUACACUUUUCGUUUCAAGGUGGUAUCCAUUUAAAACGUAUGUCUUUAAAACUCAACAAAUUUCGAAUGGACCGAGUAGCAUAUAUGCAUUCUUUAUAGACAAUAUUGUUCCAUUUGGUAACAUAAUCUGGGCUUUUCCUGAGCCUUCAAUUACAUCUGAUGGUCCUGAUUGUUGUUACCUUUACUUUGCAAGUACCGAUUCAGAAUUACUUUCGUCUCGAAGUAUUGAAUGCUGGUUGGCUAUGACAGAAGUCUCCGCAUGAUCUUGUUUUAGAUAUAACAUAUUUUAUAUCCAGAUCGAGUAAAGAAAAGCAAUUUAUUCAUACUGGAUAUCUACUUUUAUUGAAAUGAACAUUAGAAAACCACAGUACAAAUAACAUGAGUACAUUAAACAUAAUAAUUCAUCGGACCCUUAAAUUCUUAUCCAUACUAAGUCAGUCUGUGCAUCCAGGUGGUGUUGUUUAACUGUCCUGAUAAUUGGGUUCACUGGGGGGUUUCAUUGGUUUAGCCGGUCAAGGAAAUUGCACCCGACUCCUUGAAGAGGAAAGUGAUAUAGUUCCACCAGAUGUUUGGGGCGCCGACAAGUACGCGCCAAAUGAGUGCCACCACACCUGGAUUAAACCUUGGAACCGUUGUGAAACUAGAGUGUUUCUUGCUUUCCUCUCCUGGCGAGUGUGGUUAUUUCUAUAAGGAGGGCCUGACUUUCUCUUGGAACCUGGUCGGGAAACUGACACCAUGGUUCAGUGCCAGGCCUUCCCGACCUUGCUUGUGGACCAGCGUUCUGUUUUUAUAUGCCCACGGGAGUAAAUAUCUGGUAUUUCUUUCAGGGAGCAAAAUUCACUCGGAACUGGAUGGCUGUCCACCAAAGGGCAAGAUUAUGGUUUUUCAUGAGAAGCUCAGUUUGUAGCCACAGAGAUGGCGAUUCAGCUGUGUAUUCAGUGAGCUCGCGUCUAUACUGUUGUAUGCAGUGACCAGUGAGGUGUUAGAUGUGCUUUUUUUGAUCCAAGGCAUUUCCUAUGAAACCAGGCUCAGAAUUACACAAUUAAUGAGAGGGGCAAUGUGAACCGCACAUUCUCAAUCGAAAUCAAGUCAUAGAUGGGUGAUUAUCCCGCACUACUUUAAAACAGCAGGAAAAAUUUAAGAUAAGCUGUGAGCUGUGGAAACUUGCAACGCACACUAAAAUUGCGAUAAAUUCUACAAAUAUCUUCAGCCAGGUGGACGAUUUAUACCGCCCACCAUAAGCCCGUCAUAGGUGCGGUGAUCUAUCCGCACUAACUUUAACAGCAGGAAUAUUUAAUAUGUAGAGCAAGGUGGACGGAUAUACCGAUAACGGUUAUAAAAUUGCGAUAACCUUUAAAAUGCAAAGCGGUGGACGUAUUAUACCGCACCUCACCUAAAUUGCACAAUUAAAAAUUGCACUAUUUAAAAGAGCUUAUUUCAAUGGCCUUUACAAAUUUUACAUAAGCUUAAAUAUGACAAUAUAGUAGCAUUAUACCGCACCACCUAAAUUGCAAUAAAAUUAAAUAGUCAAAGCAGGAUGGGUGAUUAUUUCACACCACCUAAAUUGCGAUAAAAUUAAUACGGGAAAAUUUAAUAUCAGAUUAAGCGGCGAACAAUACCGUCCCCACUUAAAAUUUUCGAAAGAAAUGAUAUGCAGUCAAGACAGAACGAUCAGAGACCGCACCAAUUUGGAUUGCAUAAUACUCAGUGAUUAGUAGUCAAUAUCUACACCACCAAGAAAUCAAAGUAUGUGCAGUUAGUUGGAGACCUAGAAGUAACAUGGUGCAACAGUUCUUCUUCGCGAGGGUUUGGCCAGCAUGAGGAGAGAAGAAGAAGACAGAAAAAAACGAGGAAACUUCUUUUGGUGAAAGGAAAUGGAGACAAAGAUAGAGAGUUGCUGAUAACGUGUUCACUGUAAAUAGAUAAAUUUAUUAGAGAGAAACUUUCCUGUGAAGAACGAAGCAGUUGAGAGUAUAUACGGACACAAUCUGUUGCAGAGAAGUAAUUUAUAUUAUGCUAUUAAUAUAUUUCUCUUUUCUUUCUUCUUCUCAUUCAUAAUCGUUGCACAAUUUGAAUUGCUUAUUAUAGAGUACUUCAAUGAAAAUUACAAAACAUUACUAUUUAGCUUUGAGUAUAUAGUACACAUGUGAUACUUUACUAUACACAUUACUAUACACAUGUGGGCAAACAUACCCAUCAUUUACAACACUUUUGUGAUUGUUGGUCUCUCACUCAUCUUUUACUUUUCUGGCGGAGAUCCUUAUAUAAAAUACUAUAUUUUAUUCCGCAAGAAUCGCAUGGUUAUAAAGAAAUUGAGGAGAAUGCAGGCAAUUUCGUCCUUUACAUUUUUUAUGUUUUUUUUUUUUUGGUCUAAUCUCUGAUGAUUUUUCUCAGUCGUCGUUCGUAUGUUUAUUUUAUUGAAAUAAGCCUUACAGAAAAUGCUUUUACUAAAAGAAAAAAAAGAAUAAAUAUUUACAAAUUCUUCAGUUAAACAGUGAGGACUCAAUUUGCUUUAACUUUAUGAGAUAGGAGUCUUGGGUAGGUAAUUUUUGUGAUUGCAGAUUUUAUGUUGAUUACUACGUGGUAUUCAUAUACAUUCUUCGUACACCCGGUUUCGGCAGCCUGACGGAGUACUGACUAUUUUCUCAGAUAGGCUGUCAUCGGAUAGUAACUGCCUAAAUUAGCUGCGCGUUUGAUGAAUCGGUUAAUGACCGUAUUUCACAAUACUGUGUUUGAUUAUUAUCGUGAUUUUUAUUUAUCAAGUUUUAAUUUCUGAGUAAAUUAAAACUCACUCCUGAUCCUUAUUCCCUCCAAAUCUGAUCCUGGUUUUAACCUGGAUACCAUAAUAUUUCUUGAGCUGAAGGUGGAAAAUUCAGCAAAGAUUUGGUGGGGGGGUUUCCCCCUGGAAAAAACACAAUUAAUUUAACAGAACACUCUGCAGAGCUAUCUGCUGAAUACCUGCCAGUUAAUGAUUUGUAUGCUUUCGAAUUGCUUUCUAGUUCGUCAUAAUAGAAUAGAAUGAAUUUGUCGAGGUUUUUUUUUGGUUCGUUAUUCUUCAAUAUUAAAGUAAAGGAUAUGAUUUGUAUUAUUUUAAAUUCAAGAAAGGCAGCUGUGCCAAACGAGGCCUUCUCUCUUGCCGUGUCUGAUGCAGAAGAUUUUUUACUCGAGCCGGCUAUAAUUUGGAGGGCAGGUUGGUUUAAUCAGUUCCAAAUUUGGUGAAUCGUUUGAUAUUUUUAGUUUUUCUGUCCUAAUUGACAAGUGUUGAUAUCUUCUAAAAUAACCGAAGAGUUGUAAGGAUACUUUCACUUUUUGCAUUGACUUGUGGGGCGAUGAUUUUAGGCUAACAGGGCUUAGUUUGAAUCCUGGAUGUGCUUUCCAGUUCCCCCCCCCAAUCUGUGGAUUUGUUUUCUUUAAAAUAUUAAACCCCUUGACAUCGCAUAUACCAGCUGAGACCGUCGUCGUCGUCGUCACCGUAUGAACAAAUCUAUGAUCAGAAAUCAGAGAUGAGAGCCCAAGACCGUCGCCCUCAGUCUCAGAAAUUUGAGCCAAAAUCUCGCGAGAUUCAAGCUGCACGCGAGCGGAUCCAAAGCCCGAACCUCCGAUCUUGCUGAAAAACCGUGAAUUUGGUCCCAAUUCGAAGGAAAUUUUAAGCCCAGAAAAGCCUUGGUUUCACAGUAAAACCCAGAAACUUGAGGUACGAAAAUUUCAUAUUUUUUGAUGUUUUUUAUUUAUUUUCAGUGUUAAUUUCUGAUUAAAUUAUUAUUUUUGAUAAACCCAUCCAGAAUCUGAUCUGGGUUUUACCUGGAUUCCAAGUAAUAUUUUUGAAACUUGAAGGUGGAAAAUUUUCAAUUUAUUUUUAUUUUUAUUUAUUUUCAGUGUUACUCUCUGAUUAAUAUUAUUCUGGGUUUUGCAGAAAUGCUAUUCUUGCUGAAUACCUGCCAUGUAAGUGAUUUAAUUUUUGCUUUUCGAAUUGCUACUACUUUCGUGCAUAAUUAUGAAUAUGUAGAUGAUUUGGGGGUUUUUUUUUUGGUACUUUAUCUUCAAUUUAAAGUAAAGGAUAUUGAAUUUUGUUAUCAUUUUUAAAUUCAAGAAAGGCAGUCUGUGCUUCCUCUUCCGUUCUGAUUUGCAGAAGAUUUCUCGAGCGGCUAUAAUUUCAUGGCAGGUUGGUUUAAAUCAGUUCCAAAAUUUGGGAUCGUUUGGGAUAUUUUUAGGUUUUUCUGUCCCUCACAAAUCUUGGCUCUCUAAAAAAACCGAAGCAGUUUAAGAUUCUUCAGCUUUUUAAUUUGGAUUGAAGAUGAUUUUAGGCUAACAGGCUAAUGUUUUGAAUCCUGGAUCUGGGAGUUCCCCCCCCCCAAGCUGUGGGAUUUGUUUUCUUCAAUUUUAAAAUAUUACAAUUGAAUUCUUUGUUUGGGUAAAAGUUCUGUAUGGGUUCUGAUGAGGCACUGAAUUGGGUUUGAGAGUUUUGAUUUUACGGGAGAGGUAGGGAUUUGUGUUUAAACUUUUGAAGUACUUUUUUUGCAGAUAUUACGGGAGAGGUUGGACAUAAUCAUUACUUCCUAUUACAAUUAUUAAAGUUAAUUCAAUUAACUAAAGUUGGUUUGAAUGUGAUGAUGUGAUGGCAACUACUAACAACAAAACAACAAUCUCCUUAGAUUAAGGAGAAAGAACCAAAAGGUGAGGAAGAAAAGAAAGGAAAGGAGGAAAGAGAGCUCUGCACAUGCAAAUGUCAGAGAGCUCUCGGUGUACAUGUAAAGCAAAAGUAUACAAUAAUUCCAAUAAUAUUUUUCUUCUAACACUGUUAAGCAUGUAGUUUUCAGUGAUCUCUGGACAAUCCCUAUAUAUGCAUUGUAUUUGCAUAUUAGUUUCACUUAGUUUUAGUGAUCUUUGCGAGAACUUUUUUUAUUUUUAUUUAUUUUCAGUGUUUCUCUCUGAUUAAUAUUAUUUUGAGUUUUGCAGAAAUGCUGUUCUUGCUGAGUACCUGCCAUGUAAGUGAUUUAAUUUUUGCUUUUCGAAUUUCUUCUUUUCAUGCAUAAUUAUGAAUAUGUAGAUGAUUUGUGGGUAAUUUUUUUUUUACUUAAUCUCCAAUUCAAAGUGAAGGAUAUUGAAUUUUGUUAUCAUUUUUAUUCAGGAAAGGCAGUCUGUGCUGCCUUUUCUGUUCUGAUUUGAAGAAGAUUUCUCAAGCGGCUAUAAUUUCAUCGCAGGUUGGUUUAAAUCAGUUCCAAAAUUUGGGAUCGUUCGGGAUACUUUUAGGUUUUUCUGCCCCUCACAAAUCUUGGCUCGCUAAAAAACCAAACCAGUUUAAGCUUCUUCAGUUUUUUGAUUUGGAUUGAAGAUGAUUUUUAGCCAAAAAGGCUAACGUUUUGUGGUAAGUUCUUUGAAUCCUGCAUCUGCGAGGUUUUUUUUUUUUUUUUUUUUUUUCCAAAGCUGUGGGAUUUGUUUUCUUCAAGUUUAAAAUAUUACAAUUGAAUUCUUUGUUUGGGUAAAAAUUUAAUUAGAUUCUGUAUGGGGGUUCUGAUGAGGCACUGAAUUGGGUUUGAGGGUUUUGAUAUUAUGAGAGAGGUAGGGAGUAUACAGGGAGAGAGGGGGGGUAGGUGAUUUGCAGAAAUGGAGGGUGAAAGAAAAAAGGGGAGAGAAGGGGUAGUACAUUAUAUUUUGAUUUUAUAAUUUUGGGGGUUUUGUGUUUAAACUUUUUUCGCAGAUAUAGCCCACAAAUGUUGACCCAAAGGUUGGACAUAAUCAUUACUUCCUCAUCUUCUGUUUAAACUUUUUUCGCAGAUAUAGCCUGUCGAACAUUAAUUGAAACUCUAUUGAAACAAUCAUCUGUUUGCAACAAUCAUCUCGUUGGCUUCGAUGGCUAAAGAAGCAGCAGCAGCAGCUGCCUCAUCUUCUUCUCCUCCACCAUGGAAAUACCAUGUAUUCUUGAGUUUCAGAGGCGAGGACACGCGCUACAAUUUCACAGGCCAUUUGUGUAGAGCUUUGCGUCAAAAAGGAAUUAACACCUUCAUGGAUGAUUACCUUUCAAGAGGAGAAGAAAUAUCACCAGCGCUCCUCAAAGCGAUUGAAGAGUCGAGGAUUUCUGUCAUUGUAUUCUCCGAAAAAUAUGCUUCCUCAAGGUGGUGCUUGGACGAACUUGUUAAGAUCAUUGACUGCAAGAAAUCAAAUCAGCAAAUGGUGAUACCGGUAUUUUACAAGGUGAGUCCCUCGGAUGUUUGAAAUCAGAAGGGUUGUUUUGGUGAUGGACUUGCUGGCCUUGAGUGCAAUUAUAAGGAUAACGUUGACAAGAUCCACAAAUGGAGGCCAGCUCUUUCAGAAGCAGGAAAUUUGUCUGGGUGGACUCUCUUGGAUAAGUAUACAUUAUUACUUUAACACAUCCUUCUGCUUUCGCUUGUUUCAAUUUCUCUACUCUUUUGGUAUAUAUAGAUUUAAAUUUUUUGAGAUAGGAUCAAGAAUCAAAAGACCCAACAUGUCAUCGAUUUGUGGCCUUGUCAUCCAUUUGUGCAUAUUUGGAGUCCAAAUUUAGUGUACAAAUUAGUGUCUCUAGCAUCCUUUGUCCAAUCUUCCCAAACUAUAAAAAAAAUAUUGGUUUGUAAAUAUAAAUAGAAGGAAAUUCUGUUCUACUUUUGUGUGUGUUUUCUUCCCUCUUUUAAAAAAACAUGGGAAAAUGUCAUUUAUAAGAUGUUCCGUGUGAUUUUAUGCUUGCAGGCAUAAAGAUGAAUCGGAACUUAUUCAUAACAUUGUUGAAGGUAUUUCCGUGCAAGUAUUAAACCGUACAUAUUUGGAUGUGGCCGAAUACCCAGUUGGAAUGGAGUCUCGUGCAGAAGAAAUAAAUAACCUCUUACAUGUCGGGGGAAAUGAUGUCCGUAUGGUAGGUUUAUGGGGGAUUGGUGGAAUUGGUAAAUCAACAAUUGCCAAAGCUGUUUAUAAUUUAAUUUCCCACAACUUCGAAGGCAGUUGCUUUCUCAGUAGCGUUGGAGAAAGUUCAAUGACGGAUAAAGGAUUGGCCAAAUUACAAAAGACACUUCUUUAUGAGAUUCUACUGGGAGACAAGUUGAAGGUGGCCAAUGUUGAUAAAGGAAUCACUUUAAUUAAGGAAAGAUUAAGCAGUAAAAGGAUUCUCUUAGUUCUUGAUGAUGUGAACGACAUGAAACAGUUACACUGCUUAGCUGGGGGAUCAGAUGGUUGGUUUGGCGUGGGUAGUAGAAUUAUCAUAACUACGAGGGAUAAGAAACUGUUAACUGCUCAGCAUCAUAAUAUUUUGAUAUACGAGGUGAAGGAAUUGAACGAUCAUGAAUCUCUCGAGCUCUUCAGUUGGAAUGCCUUCAAAAGCAAAGGACCUUUGGAUGGUUAUGCGGAACUUGCAGACCAUGCAAUACGGUGUGCUCAAGGCCUUCCAUUAGUUUUGAGAGUUUUAGGUUCACAUUUGUACUGUGAAAGUAUAGAUAUGUGGCAAGCUAUAUUAGAUGGUCUGAUCAAAAGUCGAGAAAUUCAAGACGUUUUCAAGAUAAGUUAUGAUGCAUUGGAUGAAAUAGUGAAGGAAGUUUUUCUCGACAUUGCGUGCUUCUUUAAUGGGGAAAAAAGUAACUAUGUGAUCGAAAUAUUAGAAGGUUGUGGGCUAAACCCUAAGCAUAGCAUUGACGUACUCAUACAGAAGGCCCUCGUAAAUAUAUAUUAUGGUAUUAUACGGAUGCACAAUUUGGUAGAAGAAGUGGGUAAAGAAGUAGUUCGCCAACAAUCACCCAAUGAUCCUGGAGAGCGCAGCAGGUUGUGGUUUCAUGACGAUGUUUAUCGUGUUCUGACGGAGAAUACAGUAAGUCCAUUUGACAACAUUUUAUUUGUUAAUGAGACAUGCAUUUUGUUUUAUAUGGAACUUGCAUUGUUAAUACUUUUGAAUUUUCAUACUAGGGAACGAAAAACAUUAUAGGCAUAAAGGUGCAGCUGCUUGAAUCGGAUAACGAGAUAUGCUUAAGUCCUGCAACCUUCUCCAACAUGAAAAAUCUUAAAAUUUUCAUAAACCGUAAUGGACGGUUUUCUGGAGCCGUUGAUUACCUCCCCAACAACUUAAGGUUCGUUGAUUGGCCUGAAUGUCCGUUGAAAUCUUUGCCGCUCAAUUUAAUUCCGAAGAAUCUUGUUCUACUCAACAUGAGGAACAGCCGUAUCACAGGAUUCGGGGAGGGAUUUAAGGUACAUACGUUGAUCUCUUUUCUUUCUGUUUUAUUUAAGAGUAAGGAGUCUUUCUUUUUUCUGUGUCCCCUUUGAAAUGUUUUCAUCCCUUCCUCUCUUUUUUUCUUCACAGAUCCUGACGAAGCUGACUUCUAUAGAUUUAUCUGACUGUGAAUACUUAACCAGAAUCUCCGACUUAUCCGGAGUUCCAAACUUAGUGAGGUUGAAUCUAGAAUGUUGCGGAAAUUUAACCGAGGUUGAUUCAUCAGUUGGAUUUCUUAAUAAACUUGAAUUCCUGGGACUUAAUUUCUGCGAUAAGCUUACAGUGUUUCCAACAACAAUAAGCUUGAAAUCUCUGGAGUAUUUUAAUCUUUACGGUUGUGAAAAGUUUGAGAUAUUCCCGGAAAUUGUGGGCAAAAUGGAAAGCCUAAGUGAUUUGACAAUUGUUAGAACUGCUAUAAAAGAAUUGCCUCCAUCAAUUGAAAAUGUCACCGGGCUUUUACGCUUAUCGUUAGAUGAAUGUGAAAACCUUGCAAAUCUGCCGCAAAGCAUUUAUGCGCUGCCCCGUCUUGAACAUCUUGGUCUCAGUGGCUGCCCAAAGCUUGUUACACUCCCUCCGGAGCUUCCAACUAACUCAAACACUUCACUUGACAACUUUGGGUCAGUAGCACUUCCCAAUCUAGAGAGAGUAUAUUUUGAUGAAUGCAGUUUAUCGGACAUUGAUACCCUUGCAAAUUUCGGUUGCUUAUCUAAAUUACAAAGAAUUAGUCUAUGUAAUAGCAAUUUUGAGAGUCUUCCUGCAUGCAUUAGCAAAUUUGUGCGGUUGGAGACACUUGAUUUGUCUGGUUGCAAGAGACUUCGAGAAAUUUUAAAACUUCCACCAAAUAUAAGAUGGAUUAACGUUGGUGAUUGCAUAUUGCUGGAAAUAUUUCCAACAUUGUCAGAGAUGAUACGGGUAGACGGAGACACGAGACUCAUUCGUUGGAUGAACUUGUCUAAUUGCCAAAGGCUAUGCGAAAAUUUGGCUUUGGAUGUCUCCAAGAUGGCAAGCGUAUUACUGCAUCAGGCACUGUUCUCUCUCUCUCUUUUCCAUUUUUCCACUCUUCCAGUAUGAACGACUAAUUAACAUUCAUUAUAUGAAUCUUACAGGCGUGGAAGUGCUAUGAAGUGCCAAGUAUUAUACUUCCAGGCAGUGAAGUUCCAAAUUGGUUCAGUUGCCGUAAGGACGUACGUGUGGGGGUUGAUGGCUCUACAACUGAUCCUGGUUGUAUAUGUGAAAUAUUUAUUGAAAUCCCUCGGACUUUCAAAUGGAAAAACACAAUACUUGUUAUCUGUGCUGCUUUCACAAACACGCAAAAUGCAUAUUGCGAUUUUACGAUAGAGACUGCAGUCAAUGGAGUACGUAUAUAUGAGAGUGAUGUUUUAAUACAAUUAAUAUCAAAAAAGACAGAUGCAGCUCGUGUGUGGCUAACAUAUAUUCCAUUACCGGCUCACAUAAAGUCGAAGGUGGAUGAGGGUGGUGAUCAAUCAAAGCCGUAUCUGUGUCGAGUUCGUGUUUGCUGCGGAUCAUCAGAUGCGCCCCUCUUAAAAGGCUGCGGUGUCCAGGUGGGACUUCACAUUCUUCAACGCGUCCAAGAAGGCUUAAAUGGCUGCGGUGUCCACUUGGGAAAUUUCAGUAUGCCCGAGGAUGGUGGUGAAGAUGACGAUGAUGUAGGAGGUGAAGUUCGACCAAGAAAAAAGAAAAGGAUGCUGGCGAUCAAGGGUUGAAUGUGAGUUGCAACAUUUUCAAAUCUCUAGUCAUGUUUUUGUGAUGGUCAUUCUUGUUUUGAAAGUGUUUCUUCUGCUAACUCAACAAGUGUGGGGUUUUAUACAAAGUGCAAAUAGUGAAACCAUGAAAUAUAAACUGUAUUCAUUUCGGUCAGGUUUCCGACGUGGGACUUCACAUUCUUCAACGCGUCCAAGAAGGCCAUUGAUAUACGAUUCCUCUCAUCUCUCUCGUGUUUAAGGCAAGGAUUUGGCUCCAUUUUAACGCUCUCUCCUGUUUUUCUUCUGUUAGUUUUCAAUUCUUAGAAUUCUUUGUGAUUUUCGUUUAUGGAAAACUAAUCUCCAUAGCUACGGCUAGGAGAGAAACCUACACUGUAACUAUGUACUUCUAUUAUUUUGAUUUUAUUUUGGAUUUUCAGGUUGGAAUUUCUUAUUUAAUCUAUUUUUGGAAUGAUGAAUAUUAGUUAUGAUCCAUAGGAUCAACCCUUUUUUUCUUGGUAUAGUUCCGUUUCAACAUUCAUGCUUUCAAUGAACUGUAUAUAUUGAUUGAUUGGUAUGCUUUUGAUGACGUAGUUUUUUUUUAUAUUUUGUCGUUGUAGGCAUAAAUCGAACAUCCAAAAUGGAGAUUUAAUCACCAAAAGCUUUCAUAUUGAGAAAACUUAAUUGUCAUAGCUUCUGAUUGAGGGCGCACGUUGUUUGUUUAUCAGUUAAAGUUAUAAAAAUGAAUUGAAAUAGUGGAAUUGCAUAAUUGUAUAUAGGCAGAACCCCAAUGCUUUAAUGCUAUUUGGAGCAUAUGGUAUCUACAAAACAAGAUCCUGUUAUACCGCCUUCAGUUAAUGGAAUAGAAUUCCAUCUUGCUAAGCAUUUAAAAUGCCACAGAAAUGUUUCCACAGGAUGAGUCAACCGAAAUAUUUCCGCAGAUUUCCAUCUUGCUGGUUGUGCUAUAUAUAUGUUGGACAAUUUGAGCAUUACCCUGCUAAUCCAAUAUGGCUUUUCAGACGCAAACGCCUCAAAGUUUGUUACAUUUCCAGAUCAGGCAUCAAUCCUAUCUGGAUAAUUUCUUUAACAAGCCUCAAAGCUUCACCGAUUCUGUUGACCAAGGUUUUAUGGGAAGCAAUAUCAGGCGCAUAACCCAUAAUCACCAUUAAGUUCAAGACCACCUUCGCCUUUUCCAUUCUGCCCUGCAAACAAUAUUCACUAACCAGCAUACUGCAAGUUAUUGUGCUGAGUUUCAUACCGUAUUCAAUUGUUGCCUCAAAUAUUUUGUUAGUCUCUUCUGUCAUCCCAGCAUCCAAUAGUAUUACCAAAGUAACGGUAUCAGGCAAGAGUCCCCGGCCUAUCAUAUCAUCAAACAACCUUGUGGCCUCUUCCCAUUGAGCUGUACGGCACAUGCCAUUGGUUAAACUGUUGUAAGUGAUAACAUUUAGGGCAAUACCUUCAUCCAGCAUUCUAUUAAACACCCUUGUAGCUUCUCUCCAGUGGCUGGUCCAGCACAAUCCAUUAAUUAAGGAGCUGUAAGUCACAACAUCAGGCCUUUCCUCUCUACGGAUCAUUUCUUCCACAAGAUUCAGUGCCUCUGCUGUCUUCCCUUCCUUGCAUAAAGCAUCCAGUACAGAAUUAUAUGUAACAAUAUUAGGCAAGGCUCCAUAACCAAUCAUGGUUUUAAAUAAACUCACACCUUCCUCCCAGUUACCAGACUUGCAUGAAGCAGAAAUCAAGCAAUUAAAAGUGACAAGAUCAGGUUUUAUGCCUCUCAUUGUCAUCUUUUCAAACAGAGUAAGCGCUUCUUGAAUUCUUUCUUCCUUGCAAAUACCGCUGAUAAGAACAGUAUAUGUGUAUACACUGGGUGAAAUUCCACUGUCAAGCAUACAAAUCAAGAAGCUCUUGGCUUUUUCCAACCUCCCCGAUUGGCACAAUGCAUAAAUUAGAGCGGAGUAGGUGAGAACAUCUGGCCUGACUCCUUGAUCUUCCAUUGCUUCAAAAAGAGAGAACACUUCUUCCCAGCAAUUCAUGUUGCAUAACCCAUGAAUCAAAGUGUUAUAAGUGAUAAUACCCGGUACAACACUUUUGUAGAUCAUAUCUCUAAAUAGGGUCAAGGCCUCAUCUAUUCGUCUUUCUUUACAGAGGCUAUCUAUGAUGGGAUUGUAGCAGUCUUGUUUGGGCUUGAACCUUCCAUCUUCCAACAUAUUCGUAAGUAUCUCGAGUGCCUUAGAAGUUUUCCCAGCCUUGCAUAGCCGAUUGAUCAUGGUCGCAUAAGUGAUUUCAUCGCACGUGUAUCCCUUCUCUUCGAUUUCCUGGAAGAACUCCAAUGCCUCGGCCCGAGACUAU